GAUUCUUGAAUAAUUUUUUAGGUGUGAAUGGUGCCUGUAUGGUUUCCGGUAAACUAUUUGCCGAGCUAGCAAAUGAAUGUUUUAUUGACUGAUAUCUAAAUUUGCCGUUUGUCAUCUUGUUUAUCAUCUUGUUUUUAACUCACAGAUAUAGACGUUGUAGCUUAAAGAAGCUAGGCUUUCUGAUAUGUUUAAACUCAUCACUAAAAAGAAACUAAAGGUGCUUUGCGAGGUAAUGUUAAAGUUAUGUACAAAGACAUAAACGGUCGAAGUCUUCGUCCAAAACGAGGGGUGGGAUUUUGUAUAAGUAGAAUGAGGAGGCUAGUCAACUAGCCUUAUACUGAGAAUUAUAUAACAAGUAGUAAUAAAUUGAUAUUAUAUCACUAGAUUGAGAAAGAAACUCAUAUCUAGCAAAAAUGAUGGAGUCUCAGCAGUUGCACCUAUGCAUUAUGAUGUAUGCUCGUUGGUAAGUACAUGGCUGCUAAUGGACCAGAAGUGGCCUAAACAAAUCUAAAGUUUUCAACAGCUCUAGGUUAGAACAAUAUAAACUCAGACCAGAGGUUAGGUCGUUAAUGCAUGGUCGUAGACGCACUUAAAGUUGAAACAAAUGACUUUAGAGUUGAAACAAAUGACACACCCCCUAUAUUUGAUGACUGAUGUGCUCUGUGACGUUCUUUUCUUUUUGGGAACGAGGACUGGCUAAAAUUUGGUUGAGCAUGGAACUAAACCUAGGUCACUACACUAGCUCAACCAAUUGGUAUUCUCUUCACUUUCACCCUUGUUGAGAGAUUGAAUAAUGCUGAGAUGCUGCGAAAGAAAGUAGAGGUAACAUAAUUAUAAUUCCGUGUUGAUGCUCAUAUUCUUAUAGAACCUAAAUCUCAGUGAAAGGAAGGAGAGCCAAAUAAGAAAUCUCAGUGAAAGCAAGGAGAGACAAAUAAGAAAUCUUCCUUCUCAAGAGAAAUGUAUAAACAAUUCCCCAAAUGCUGCGUGGAUUGGUUACAUGUAGGACAUGUUCUAUGAAAAAAAUGGAAGGAUUGACAAUUUCCAGAAACAAUUGCCAGAUCAGUCCUUCGGGUUUUUAAGGAAGAUCACAAGCAAACAAGUACCCAAAUAUCAGCCAAACAUCAACGAGAAAUACUAUAAAUAGACUCAAAAUUAAAAUGUUGAGAAGAGAAUUUGGAAUGGGCUUCUUUAUGGGCUUUUCUUGGGCCUAAGCCAUGAAAAUUCCAUUAUAAUUCUACCAUGUUUGGAGAGCGCUUGCCUGCAAGUUCGUGACUUUUUAAAAGAUCCCUUGCGUUGAAUAUGAUCAAAAUGUUAUGAUCUCUUAGAAACUCAAUCUUGUAGGCAUUCACUUCAGUCCUGAGAAUUUUGAAAGGUCCAUCAGUUCUUUGCUUGAGCUUGCUAUGACAGCCUAAUGGGAAGUGUUUUUAGCAAAAAUAAGUCUAUACUAAAUCCCUUUCUUUGAAGGCCUUAGGUUUCUGUGCUUGCUAGCAAUGUCAUGGCACUUCUGAUCAUGCUUCUCAAUUUGGGCUGGUACUUGUUUAUAAAGCUUUUGGAUGUUCUUGGCUUUUUUUUUUAAUCUUUACUAAAAUGAUGAGUAAGUUGUCUGAAUAGGAGUUAAGUUCAAUGAGUUAACAGGAUUCAGCCUAUAGAUCACAUGGAAAGGGCUAAUACAGGUAGUUUAGUUAGAUGAUGACCAGGUGCCGGUAAACUCAUCUUAAUCCAAAGACUUCAUUGAUGAAUAUUCAUACUUGCUAAGCACCUUAAGAGAUUACUCAUGCUCCUAUUGACAACGUCUAUUUGUCCAUCUGUUUGUGUGAUGUGAGGACCUAAAUUGGAGAGUAGUGCCAAGCUUCCUAGUACGCCUAAAAUGACCGACAAAUUUGUGAUCAUGGUAGGAAGCGAUUGUUUUCGUUAUACGAUUAAGUUUGACAAUCUUUAAAAAGUAAAGCUCGGAAGCAUGAUUAGAAACAUCUAAGGUUAUAUUCUAAGGUGUAAAAUGAGCUUUUUUUAGAGAAGCAGUCAAUAACCUCUAUGAUAAAGUCUUUUAUUUUUUUGACUGCAAGGUAAGCCUAAGAUAUAGUCAAGGUUCAUUGCCCCCAAGGAACUAGUGUUAGUAUGCAGUGACCAAUAUUCUGAGCAUGAUCUUUGUUAGUAACAAGUCCUUUAGUUAUGUGACAACUCAUACAUUUUUAACGUAAUAUGUGAAACCUCGAGGUAUAUGUGGCCAACCUUUUUUAUUAUUUUUCUUUUGAAGAAUAGUCAUAUUUUUGCCCCGGUGACAAUAUUCACAAGUCCACUUUUGUUAGCUAAAUAGCAUGAGAUGGUGAAUGUUUGAGAAUACAUAUAAGAUUAUUCUUGGAGAGAUAGCCAUUACGAUGAAUGAAGUGAGAAUAAGGCCCUUUAGGAUAUUUCUCCAAAAUUCUACCAAAAUAAGAAUUAUCCUUAUAACACCAAAGACUGUCACUUGCAUGGAAACAAGCAAGAAAUGUCUUCAGCUCAAUGCAUUAGCCAUUUUUAAGGAUUCUUAAUUUAAAAUGGGGUUGUAAUUAAAUAGAUCAAAUAUAGAUCAGAUAUCAGUAUAUUCGUAUCUAUAUUCAUUUAUGAUGGGGAGCAAAAUGGAUCGUCCAGCCCACCACAAAAGAGCCACCCAAUUUCGGCCCAAUAGACACCAACGCCGACCAAACGUGUCCUCGGUCUGGCCCAGAAUCAGCCCGACCUCGGGAUCCGCUGAGAGCUCCUUCCACCUCUUAUAUUCGCCGACUCGUCCGACCAAGUACGGAGCGCCUCCUUUAUUCGCCGACUCACCCAAUUUAGUUCGGAGCGCCUUCUGUAUUUGCCGACUCGCCCAACCAAGUUCGGAGCGCUUCCUGUAUUCGCUGACUCCCCCGACCGAGCUUGGGGCGCCCUCUCAAGUAAUACGCCCCGACCUUUGAGCUCGAGGCGCUCCACUGAGCACAUUUCGGAACCCGAGAUGCAAGGCCGACCUUAGCACCAGUCUAGCCGACCUCGCCAAAUGCCUAAUGCGAUCUCUCAACGAGCUCGGCCUCACCAAUGGCCGCACCCAUGUGCAUGCCCACACUCUUCUACGUGGUCGUACAUUACGAUGCCACUAUGCCACGCUUUGCUCGCUAGCCCACGGCGGCCAAAAGACAGCGUCGUACUACUCCGGCCAUACCCUGCUACGGCUGUCAAUGCCUUACCGUUCCCAGGAACGAACUCCACCACGCGCCACAAACAAUCUCUGGCUGCGCGCCACUCCCACUCAUGAUGGGAAUGGGCCAUACCUCUACCACCAAAGCAUCCUUACCGAGACUAUAAAAAAUCCCAACAGGUAACACCUAAGGAACUUUUUGGCUGGACCUACUAAGCUCCACUUUAACUUGAUCGUCGGAGGGCCCUCACCGGAAACACCAGUGAGGCUUUAUGCAGGUACACCAUCAAAUGCGGGAGGUGGCUCUCCUCAUCUUCCUCCGCACUCUGGCAGCUCCCCCGACUCCUCUGGCGUCGUCACCCUCGGGCCAGAUUUGAACCAUAAUAUUUUUGGCGCUAGAGGAAGGGCCUGAGUCGUAAUCAUGAGAUUACGGAGUCACGAAGCUUCAAACGCAUCAAGCAACCAAGCACUAGUGCCCGGCCACUCCCUUCAAAGUCCACCCCCUGCAGCGCCCGCACCAGUGAACCAAAUCCCUCAAGUCCAGCCAGAGCAGUUUUACUUGCUCGCCCAGCAAGUCUAAGCUCUCACCAUGGUUGUUCAAAGCCUUUAGCCAAUAGGAGCCUCAUCUCUCGCCAAGCUUAACAGAAAAGUCGAGGAAGUGGGGCAACAAGUCCAGAUGCUCCUGGAUCGAGUUGCGGAGCGCCACAAAGGGCGCCACCGAUUGAGGAGCAGAUCCCCCCGAAGGUCCGGUAAAUAUGUCCCUGAUGCAGCACAAGUAUGGGAAAAGAGGAGAAGGAAGAACAAGAGAGGGAGAAGGAAGAAGAGAUUAUAGGGACGCAGGAAGAAGAGAAGGGGAGGAGGAGGAGGAAGAAGAAGAAUAAGAUGUGGGGAAAAGAAAGUUCUUAAUCAUUCAUUCAUUCCCUAAUCAUGAAAAUAGUCCCCUAUAUAUAGGGUCAAAUAAACACAAUUAACAUAAAACCCCCUUACACAAAAAUAACUCCUAAUAAGCCCACAAAUAACACAAAUAAGCCCUAAAAUGCAAACAAGCCUAGAAAUAAAAAUAAAAUAAAUAUGCAAAUAAAUGGGUCUGACUCAAUCCGGGGGCUCAGGAUCAUCUGGAUGAAGGGCUCUGAUGUCCUCAUCAACUCCUCCCGGAUGAGAAAAACUCGACCCCGUUGAGUACAGGUCUGGCCGGCUGUCGUACUGCUCCAGAAGAUCGGGGUCAAGGCGCUGCAACUGUGCUCUAGAAAUCCACGUCACAUCAGACUUUAGUCGACCUUUCCACCGAAUAAGGUAACGUUGGUAACCACCGUUUCUGGUUGAAAUAACCUGCUCAUCCAAUAUAUGUUCUAUUUGUUCUCUGCAUGCAUGAAAUUUGGGAGGUGGUGGCUCAACAGUAGAUAAUAAGUCAGGGUGCCCAACAUGGGUAGGUAUAUCAAUAAAAGGGUCAGAAGGCAUGAAUAUUAUCUUUUUGUAUGGGACUAAAUCUUCAAUAUUAAAUAUCGCACUAAUCCCAUAGUCAUCAGGAAAAUCCACAGCAUAUGCAUUCGAACUGAUUUUCUUUAAGAUUUUGAACGGUUCUGCACUACAAGUUUGCAAUUUCUUAAACGUAUCUGAAAAAAAUCGUUCAAGCCUAAUUCUUAUCAUGACGUAAUCUUUUUCACUUAACUCUUUAUAACGUUUGUGUAAAUCAAAAAGGGAUUUAUAUUUUAAGUUAUUAAAGUGACUACAAUUGCUGAUUUCUUGAUGCAAUGAAUGUGGAUGGGAUGCAAUUAAUUGUGCAGACUCAAAGACUCUAUACUGAUGAGACAUGAAAAACAGGUCUAUGAGUUGCCUAGGUUUGUAAUCAUGCACCACUUCGAAUGGACUCAUACAUAUGGAUUUGUUAACCGAACUAUUACAUGCAAACUCAAUUGUCGGUAACAUUAAAUUCCAGAUCCUAGCAUAUGCAUUCGGUCUAAGCCUAUGAUGUGGAAGGUUGGGCAGAGAUGCUCCGGAAACUAGAUCAAUUGCACGUUGGAUAUCAUGCAUUGGAGAAAGUGCAUCCAAAAGAUCAUCAGGGACUACAUCAUGAAACUCCUCUAGAAGGGAAACUACUAUAGGGGAAUGUUCAAAAUUGGACGCCACAUGGGUAUCUUUAGCUACAAGUGCCAAUUCAGGUGACUAGCUCUCAAUAUCUGUCACUACCUCUUUGAUAGUAGUGAUGUGAAGUGGCUUGGUUAUACUUAAAUCAAUAGUCUUCCUUUGGGAAUCAUUUUGGAUAAAGUCUAAUUCUGUAGGUUCGUCUUCAAAGUCUUUUUCAUAGUCUUCUAUAUUUGGUUCAUAGACUUCUUCGACAUAUUCGACCUCUUGGCUCCUAACUUCUGGUUCAGUAAUCAGGUAGGUUCUAAUGGAACAUUGGGAUGCUAUGUGGUCGAAUUGUUGACACUUUGAGUAUUGGGUUUGGUGCCCAAGAAAAUGGGGAAGGAUUACAGGUAGGGCUGGCGGUGUAUAGGUCUUAGAAUUUUGCAUGAGCUCACGGAUCUCUUGUGUAAAUUCCUUGUAUCCAGCACGCAUGGCAAUGAUCUGUUUUAGGAGAGACCUCAAAAUGUCGGAACUCAUGGUAGCUACAGGGAUUUUAGGUUGAUUGAGAUAGUACUCCAUAUCACUACAGGUUGGCAUGCAAUGAUGAUACUGGGUGAUGAUGUGAAAUGCCGUGUCGCUAAUGAAACCCUAAUAACUAUGAUGUAGGACCAAAUUUGAUGCAGGACAACCUACUAAUGCAAUCUAUUAUGAUUUUAGAAAUCAGCAAGUCAUCACAAGAAUAACUUAAAAUUUAAAUGUUGCUGAUUUUUACUUCGGUUGUUCAGAAUUAAGGAUUAAGAUUAUUCAAUUUAAGAAAUUAGAUUGCAAUCAAGUAUUACAGUUGUUCUAAUCCUAAAGUAAUCUGAUCAAAUAAUAUUGAGAAACAUCCUGUUACUAAGGUGUGCUAAUUUAAUGUCAAGAUUUAAAGGGUAAUAGGACGGGUUCGGAAGUGAAAGAUUUAAUGUUCUGAAUUUUGACAACAAUAUAAAUUUUCAAGAAUAUGGCUAUCAUGCAAGAGAACUAGAACAUAAUUAAAUGAACAAACCCAAGAAAAGUGGAAACCUAUCACCUGUCGUGAAGUAGACGACCAAAGUCGUUCGCUCGUGGGCGAUGAUCAGGAGUGCGGUUGUAGCUGAUGGACUCUCCAAUUGCCGAAGAUAGAACCUGAGUACAGCAGCUCCAAAGAGAUCUGGUGGGCCUGAUGGACCGGUAAAAGUGGAGGAGAGCGGGCCUGCUGGGGUUUGGGCCACAGAAGGAAAGAUCAGUCAUGUGGGCUUGGGCCUGUGGAGUGAUGGUUGGGCUCUGAAGAAGGGGGCGGGCCUGUUGAUUGAUCCAUGAGGGACCGUGAGCCUGGGGUCGGUUCUGUGGAGUGGAGGAGGACGUGUGAACAGGUCUCGACCGAAACCCUGGGGAGCUACACCUUGGGAGGGGAACGGAGAAGCUCGGGCGGCGAGAGGCGCGAGCGGUGGUGAACGGCGGAGGGGCGUGGCGGCGGCGUGGUGCGGCAGCAGUGUGGCGCAAGGGCGGUGGAGCGGCACUGUGGUCGGUCGCGGAGGAGGCGCACGGGGCUCGGCAGCGGCGGGGAAGGCUAGCCGGUGCGGAGACGCUGCUCGUCGGGGAGGGCAACGACGGCUCGGUCACCGGAGAUCGAACGGCGACAGCUCGGGGUGCUCGGACGAGGCGGCAGAUCCGGAGGGGGCGCUCGGAGGAGGCGGCACGCGGCGACGGGCAACGGCUGUUGGACUCAGGCAGCGGGGAGGCACCGUGGACGAAACAUAAACAUAAACAUAAACAUAAACAUGAACUGAAUAAUAAAAGCAAGAUGUCUGAAUGACCGAAACAAAAGAGAAUCCCAAUGUCCCAUUGGAAAGAUUGAAAGACAAUGAAACCAGCAAAUCCAUGCAUAUAUAUGAACUGAUGUCCAAUCUAUGAGCUAGCAGCUACUAAGAUCUUAGCAAAGAAAAAGGAUGUGUGGUUGCAAAAAGGAAACCUCGGGUUAAUUGGUAAGUGAGGGCAUCAAUCAAUGGGUCAAUCAUGCUUGUGGUGGGCUACAAAAAAAAAGCAUGUGGAUGCAAGUCUGAUCUGCUUUUAACCCCUUUCCAAAGCUUGCUAAGCCUCCCUUAAGCUCCCAAGUAAACAAAUACUUCUUUCUAAAAACACCCCCUCCAAUCAAGUCCCUUUUACAAAACAUAAAGUCUCAAACAUGUUUGAAACAAAUGGUGGGAUUCCUGGCCUUGGGAGGCCGAAGCUCAUCCACAUUUUACUUUGUGCACCUCUCUCUCUCUCUCUCUCNNNNNNNNNNNNNNNNNNNNUCUCUCUCUCUCUCUCUCUCCUCCUCUCUCUCUCUCUCUCACACACACACACACACUAACACACACAGAGAGAGAGAGUGGCCAUUUCUGCACUCAACUGGUUUCUUUUGCUUUCUGGGUCUUUCUCUAAUUUGCCAGCCCUUCCCUCCCGAAUCUCCAACAGCAAUAAUAGCUCGGUCUCAUAACAGAAAAAUAAAGCUCACCACCUUCAGGACCGAGUUCCUAAAAUCUCUCGGUGCUAUCCCUUUCAGCACAAGAGAGAGAAAGGGAGUUGAAUUAUGGAAGAGUACUCUUUCCACACCUCGAAAUUAAACCCUUUUAUUUGUUUGAAAUUUGAUUGCAUGCGUUUGAGAGCACAUGGAAAGAGAUGUUCGCUGAUUUGAGCUGCAGAACUGCAAAUCACAAGAAUUUUGAUAUUACCACUCUUCCAAUGAUGCCUUUUUCAGGUACCAUCCAUCACGAAGUGUCUCCUGUGCCACUCCAUGAAGUGACAAGAUAAAGUCAAGUCAAGUUUUUAUUCUCUCCACUCUUCUCAUACAUGCACAGUCUCUCUCUGCAUCUGUCUCUCCUCAAGGAGCUUUAGGCCUAGAGAUAAGAACACGGAAGAAACCAGAUACUACUGUUUGAGCCCUUUUUCUUCCAGCACAGGUGAAAGAAAACGAACAAAAAAAAGAAAAGCUUCCCAUGUUCCCAUCGGGCACCAUGUCCAACUGCACCUCCAUGUCUGAAGAAGCCAGUGUUUCUUCUGAUACCAGAGCCCAUGACUACAAUAAUAGUUUGAGCUCUCUGUGCGCACCCAUAUCUCCUCCGUAUCGCCAACAACAGCAACAAGAGCCACAACCAAAGGCUAAGAAGAAGAGAAGCCAGCCUGGGAACCCAGGUAGGAAGGAUCUCCUCCAAUUUUUCUUUUAUUUUACUCAUAUAAAAGGAUAAAUUCUCGUGAAAGAAGAAAAAAAAUAAAGAAUAUGGUUGUUUUUAUGUUCUAAUUUUAUUGAUGUCGGAUUUUCUCACAAAACCAUUUUGUUGGUGUUGGCUAUAGACCCAGAUGCUGAAGUGAUUGCUUUGUCCCCAAAGACCCUGAUGGCUACCAAUAGAUUUGUGUGUGAGAUAUGUAACAAGGGUUUUCAGAGGGAUCAGAACCUCCAGCUCCACAGGAGGGGCCACAACCUGCCAUGGAAGCUGAGGCAGAAGAGCAGCAAGGAAGGGGUGAGGAAGAGGGUGUAUGUGUGCCCAGAGGCAUCCUGUAUCCACCACCACCCUUCCAGGGCCCUUGGGGACCUCACAGGGAUCAAGAAGCACUACAGUAGGAAGCAUGGGGAGAAGAAGUGGAAGUGUGAGAAGUGCUCCAAGAGAUAUGCUGUGCACUCUGACUGGAAGGCCCAUGUGAAGACCUGUGGGACAAGGGAGUAUAGAUGUGAUUGUGGUGCCCUCUUCUCUAGGUUGGUGAUCUUCUCUUUCAAGUUUUCUGGAGGUAACUCAUUUAUUAUUUAGUAUAGUAAUAAUCAUGGAAGUAAGUGAAUCUCUUUUCUUCUUUUUCUUCUCCUCCAUAUAUUCCUCACCUCCUGGUUUCCCUACUUGUUUGGUUACACCUAGAAUUACAUACUUGGAUUUUCAUGCGAGGUAAUUUCAUUGCAAGCCUAGUAUGGACCUAUUUUAUCAAUAUAUAUGUGUGUGUGUGUGUGUGUGUGUGUGUGUGUUGUUGAGAUCUUUAGGUUGGAUCCUACAAUAAUAUUAUUGAUCUCGAAUUCCAGGGGCACAUAUAUGAACUUGUUGAUCUCGUCAAAGCAAACUAAGGUGUAGAUUUCGUACGUGUGAUUUCUACCUCGGGUUUGAUAACGAGAAUUCCAUGAUUUCUAGCUAAUUAUAUGGAGAUUAUCUCCAUCAAAAUUCAAAGGGAAAAGAGACGAGGACCUUCAUUGGGCUGCAAGGGAUUUCAGAUGCGAAUUAAGACAUCCCUUCUGUGUCUUUACCUUCUUCUUGCAUGCUGUUUUUGCUUCAUUCUUCGUGAUUUCUUGAUCUGGAACUAGAUAUUUUAUAUAAUUGUUAUAAGAGUAUUUCUUUUCAUGCAUUAUCUAAUAAUAUUCGGCACUACAAAGAGAAGAUCACUGCAUGAAAUUUUUAGCCAAUCACAUGGGACACAUCUUAAACUUAGAGUUCGAUGCGUCCCAUUGUCUUCCUUUACUUUUAUUUACUGUUCGUUUGGAUUCAGAAAAGAGAUUUCUAGUGGAAUUCAUGCUCAAAUGGAAGUCCUUUUUUUCUCAAUGUAAUGUUCAUUAUUGAUGUGGGGCAACGAACCUACGAGAAGAACCGCAUGUGACUUAUCUGAAACGUAAUUGAUUGCAUCGACAGAUUAUAGAAUCGCCACUGUACAUAGUUGUCAGUUCAUGAUUGUUCUUAAGCUGACAAAACUCUUCAUAGCCAUGUGAGGGGAUGGGACGAGAGAGAGAGAGAGAGACAAGGUCAAUAUCAAAGUCUUCCUUAAAAUCAAUUAUAGAGAUUGUGUUGGUAAUGCAAGACAAAAGCCGGAAACAAAAGCAAAACACCAUAGGGAAGGAAGAUAUUAUAUCAUUGGAUGUAUCUACUGUUAUAAGAUUUUAUCCCACGCCCAUUUCGUUGUCCUCUUGCAUUUGUACUGAAAACUGAAGUAAUAAAAACCUGGAAUGGUACCUCUUCUCUUUUCCUUAUCUAUUUUUGGGCAUCAAUUAAAUGUGAUAUUGAUUAAAAUCCUCCUUUAACUACCGUGGUAAACAAAACUUAGAGCUACAUGCACCUCUAAAUUAUGUUUAAAAAAUGAUAUAUAAGAUGAUCCAAGAAGUAAAAAGUGAGAAGGUCAAGAAUGUGUUUCUUCGGUUAAUUUUGUUUUUUUUUAUUAAUGUAAAGGACCUUCUCUAUUCAGCUAUCGAGGUGGAAUUCAAAAUGAAGCAAUCCCUUCUUCAUUAGUUAAAAUCUCUCUCUCUCUCUUUCUCUUAUAACUGAGAACUUUUUCCUAACAUCUUCCAAGAAUGUCUUCUUCUCUUUCUCCAUAUAUAAACCCCUUUUCCUUUUUCUUAACCCCUCCUACGCCCUCUCAUUUGUAUCCCAUCUCAUCUCCCAUGCAUGACACCUCCUUUUAUUGAUCUUUCCAACUAUGUAUACCAUCUCCAUCAACAUGUAAUAAAGAAAGUAAUAAAACCUACUCUUUUAUUCUUCGUCGCCCUUUCUUAUCCUCCCUAUGAUUGUGAUUUUCUUUAUCUAGUAUCAUUUGCAUCAUCCUCCACUUUCUUUCCAAAGCUUUUCAAGCUCAAAAUGUAAAGGUCCUCCAUAUUCAUUUUUAUUAUUCUAUUUCAUUGUCCAUAUCUUCUUUUGCAGGAAGGACAGCUUCAUCACCCAUAGAGCCUUUUGUGAUGCCUUGGCAGAGGAGAGUGCAAGACUCAUGGCCACCAACACCGAUGCCACCAAGAUGACUACUUCGAUCUCCCCUCCACUCCUCAACCCUCCUCUCUUCCUCCCCUUCUCCUCUUGGGACUCCCUCCCAAACCCUAACCCUAACUUGAACACUAGUACUCCAUAUCAACUCAAGCCUGAGAACACCCUACCCUCCCUCCCCCACCCUUAUUACCUCCACCACCUCCCCACCGCCACCUCCCCCUACCUGUCGGCCACUUCCCUCCUCCAAAGAGCCUCCACCAUGGGCCCCACAACCACCACCACGACUACCGGCUCCGCCACCAUCUCCACCGCCGCCGGCGGCCAGAUGGGCAGCUCGAUGUUCGACGCUGGGCAUCCGUCCGCAUGGCAGAGGAGCGACGGCCCGACCAGGGACUUCCUCGGGGUGGUGGCCAGCGAGACCGGCGAGGAGGAGCUGCUCUCCCUAACCGGAGCCCUCGGCCUGGAUCUGGUGACCGCCGCCUCCUGCGACCGCGGUGACCACGCCAAGCACUUGGCCGGGUUCCCUCCGGUCCCCGGGACGUGGGGUGACCGUCGAGCUCAUUCCUAUGCCCCUCGUUUUGGGGAGGAGUAUCCAGGAUGAUGCCACCCGCCCAGAAUUCAUCUCUUUUCUUUUGUGAAUUUUAUUCUACUCUACUUUUUAAGUUUAUAUAUUGCUAGAACCAAUGGAAGGCAUAUCGUGAAAUAUCGUAUGAAUUUUAUUAUUUGAUUUUUAUAAGUUUUUCUCUGGAUAAUUAUAGAACAAUGGCGGCUUGGUAUUUGCUUUGUAGAAUGGGUGUCAAAGUUUUGUGAAAGCAGUUUUGGCUUGUUCGGCAGUGGUCCAAUGCUCGUACUCGCACAUUAAGAAAUUGAACCGUGCUACUACCAUGCCUGCGCGCAUUAUGUUUACCCUAUGUAGGACCAAACAGCUCGAGCGUAUUUUCGAGCACGGAUCUUCUGCACCGCGCAGUUGGCACCGUAAAUAUUCGAGAGCUUGCAUCAGGCCUUCAAAGAAGGUGGCCUUACGUAUCAGCAUGUACUCCUUUGAUGGAUNNNNNNNNNNNNNNNNNNNNNNNNNNNNNNNNNNNNNNNNNNNNNNNNNNNNNNNNNNNNNNNNNNNNNNNNNNNNNNNNNNNNNNNNNNNNNNNNNNNNNNNNNNNNNNNNNNNNNNNNNNNNNNNNNNNNNNNNNNNNNNNNNNNNNNNNNNNNNNNNNNNNNNNNNNNNNNNNNNNNNNNNNNNNNNNNNNNNNNNNNNNNNNNNNNNNNNNNNNNNNNNNNNNNNNNNNNNNNNNNNNNNNNNNNNNNNNNNNNNNNNNNNNNNNNNNNNNNNNNNNNNNNNNNNNNNNNNNNNNNNNNNNNNNNNNNNNNNNNNNNNNNNNNNNNNNNNNNNNNNNNNNNNNNNNNNNNNNNNNNNNNNNNNNNNNNNNNNNNNNNNNNNNNNNNNNNNNNNNNNNNNNNNNNNNNNNNNNNNNNNNNNNNNNNNNNNNNNNNNNNNNNNNNNNNNNNNNNNNNNNNNNNNNNNNNNNNNNNNNNNNNNNNNNNNNNNNNNNNNNNNNNNNNNNNNNNNNNNNNNNNNNNNNNNNNNNNNNNNNNNNNNNNNNNNNNNNNNNNNNNNNNNNNNNNNNNNNNNNNNNNNNNNNNNNNNNNNNNNNNNNNNNNNNNNNNNNNNNNNNNNNNNNNNNNNNNNNNNNNNNNNNNNNNNNNNNNNNNNNNNNNNNNNNNNNNNNNNNNNNNNNNNNNNNNNNNNNNNNNNNNNNNNNNNNNNNNNNNNNNNNNNNNNNNNNNNNNNNNNNNNNNNNNNNNNNNNNNNNNNNNNNNNNNNNNNNNNNNNNNNNNNNNNNNNNNNNNNNNNNNNNNNNNNNNNNNNNNNNNNNNNNNNNNNNNNNNNNNNNNNNNNNNNNNNNNNNNNNNNNNNNNNNNNNNNNNNNNNNNNNNNNNNNNNNNNNNNNNNNNNNNNNNNNNNNNNNNNNNNNNNNNNNNNNNNNNNNNNNNNNNNNNNNNNNNNNNNNNNNNNNNNNNNNNNNNNNNNNNNNNNNNNNNNNNNNNNNNNNNNNNNNNNNNNNNNNNNNNNNNNNNNNNNNNNNNNNNNNNNNNNNNNNNNNNNNNNNNNNNNNNNNNNNNNNNNNNNNNNNNNNNNNNNNNNNNNNNNNNNNNNNNNNNNNNNNNNNNNNNNNNNNNNNNNNNNNNNNNNNNNNNNNNNNNNNNNNNNNNNNNNNNNNNNNNNNNNNNNNNNNNNNNNNNNNNNNNNNNNNNNNNNNNNNNNNNNNNNNNNNNNNNNNNNNNNNNNNNNNNNNNNNNNNNNNNNNNNNNNNNNNNNNNNNNNNNNNNNNNNNNNNNNNNNNNNNNNNNNNNNNNNNNNNNNNNNNNNNNNNNNNNNNNNNNNNNNNNNNNNNNNNNNNNNNNNNNNNNNNNNNNNNNNNNNNNNNNNNNNNNNNNNNNNNNNNNNNNNNNNNNNNNNNNNNNNNNNNNNNNNNNNNNNNNNNNNNNNNNNNNNNNNNNNNNNNNNNNNNNNNNNNNNNNNNNNNNNNNNNNNNNNNNNNNNNNNNNNNNNNNNNNNNNNNNNNNNNNNNNNNNNNNNNNNNNNNNNNNNNNNNNNNNNNNNNNNNNNNNNNNNNNNNNNNNNNNNNNNNNNNNNNNNNNNNNNNNNNNNNNNNNNNNNNNNNNNNNNNNNNNNNNNNNNNNNNNNNNNNNNNNNNNNNNNNNNNNNNNNNNNNNNNNNNNNNNNNNNNNNNNNNNNNNNNNNNNNNNNNNNNNNNNNNNNNNNNNNNNNNNNNNNNNNNNNNNNNNNNNNNNNNNNNNNNNNNNNNNNNNNNNNNNNNNNNNNNNNNNNNNNNNNNNNNNNNNNNNNNNNNNNNNNNNNNNNNNNNNNNNNNNNNNNNNNNNNNNNNNNNNNNNNNNNNNNNNNNNNNNNNNNNNNNNNNNNNNNNNNNNNNNNNNNNNNNNNNNNNNNNNNNNNNNNNNNNNNNNNNNNNNNNNNNNNNNNNNNNNNNNNNNNNNNNNNNNNNNNNNNNNNNNNNNNNNNNNNNNNNNNNNNNNNNNNNNNNNNNNNNNNNNNNNNNNNNNNNNNNNNNNNNNNNNNNNNNNNNNNNNNNNNNNNNNNNNNNNNNNNNNNNNNNNNNNNNNNNNNNNNNNNNNNNNNNNNNNNNNNNNNNNNNNNNNNNNNNNNNNNNNNNNNNNAAUGUGCAAGGCACGUCUACUAAAAUAUUAAAAAUAGAUAAGUACAAAAUAAAUAAUAAAAAUAUUAAAAAAUAAAUAAUAUUAAAGAAGUAUAAAAAUAAGAUUUAAUAGAAGAUAGGGAUUGGAGGUGGAUAAGCCUAUGGUAGAGGAAGAUAGAGAAAAAGAGCAAGUAAGUUAGUAAAUAGAUAGAGAGGUUAGUUGGGAUGGAGAUAAAAGAAAUUUUAUUCACUCAAAAGAUUUCAUUGGAUGCAGAAUUUAGAAUCAAAAUUUUUAAUUAGUUAUCAACUUUUUUCAAAAUAAUCCAUGGUGAUGGUUGUGAUAUAACAAAACUAUUUUUAUGAAAUAAAUAAUAUUUCAUUCAUGGGCAAAUUCAGCAAAGCCAAUAAACUAUUUUUAUGAAACAAAUAAUAUUUUAUUCAUGGUGAUUUUGUUUUUCUGUUGUAUCAGUUGUUUUAUAAAGCCCUUGAAUAAAUACAUUCAGUUGCAUCUACCAUCAAUAUAUCCUCAGGAUAAUUUGGUAAAUCCAAAAAAGUAUCCCACAACUUAGAUCCCCUAUGAUUCAGUACUGAUUUUUAAAAUAGUAUAGAUAUUGUACAUAUUUUAUGCUAGUUUUCUGGUUGAUUGUUCCCUAUCUUAUAAAUAAGUUACACUCCUUAUUAAUUUUCGAAUUAUCAUUUGUUUGUAGUGCUUGUGAUUUUUAAAAGAUAUUUGACAUCGAUGAUUUCAUGCUUUUUUUCUAAAUGAAGGAUAGAGCAUAAGCUAUUAUGAAAAUUAUACCUUUUUAGGAAAAGAAUGGUUCCAUGAAUAUUUCAAUAAAAAUAACUUGUUUAUAAAUUAGUUUCCUUCACAUUGAUCCUUGUCUUGUAAAUAAGCUAGGGAACUAAGAUAAACGUCCAUCAAGGCUAGGAAUCAAAAAGUAAAUUUUUGAUCCAGAGGUCCGGAUCAUUAAAUACAAUUGAAACAAUGGUCAAAAAAGUAAUUUUCUUUUCUUUUCUUUGUCGAUGGAUAUUUUUCUUUCUUUCCCUUUCUUUUCUAAGGAGGGUGGGGUGCAUCCGUAUAUUCUCCUCCAACCAAAAGAGGAUUGCAAAGGAGAUUGAUAAUCUGAUCAUUUACUUGCAACCAUGAGCCAUUGGAUUGGAUUCAUAAAAAUUGGUAGGGUAAUCUCAUAUAUAUUGAAUCACAUUUUGAUACUGCUGAAUUGAGGUCUUGCGAUUAUCAUCUUAUAAUGACCGACUGACAGAUCAAUUUGGAUAUUUCCAAAAUUCUGCAAUAAAAUGUUCAGUUUUUUCACUCUACCUUCAACAAAAUCAGAUCAUGUAGCCCUCAUAGGUUUAAAUUCCAAAUUUAAUCCCUUGCAUGUAAACUAGACUCCUUACCCACAAAAAAGAAAGAAAGAAUUUUUUUUCAAAAAAAAUGUAUAUUAGACUAGGAUUCAAAUCCAUUUGGGAUCAUAUUUAUUGGCAUGCUCUGAGCCUGAAAUUGUUUCAUGGAAAAUGCUCAAGUAACUCAACAAAAUGCAAUCUAAAGUAUAAUUUCUACUUUAAAGCCAAGAGCUGUGGACCUUGAAGUCUUCGAUGACCAGGGAAAAGAUAAGGAGGCCGGCAGGGCCAAAAGGUUUCACCGAUGGUCGCGCCAAGCACAGUUCUGAAACAUCAGGGUAAUUUGGAAAAGAGAAAGUAAUUGAGUAAAGAGGAGUUACAGAGAUGUCAACGCGUGAGCAAAAUAUGUCCUGAGAGAUAAACUUAGCCUACGGAAUCCUCACGUCCUUUUCCUCUCUUUGCUUUCUUAAAUUCCGUGCAUUGUAUUGGGAUUGGGAGGGAGAUCCGCCAUAAAACUGCUAGUCCUGCUUUCAUGGUUAUAUAUUUUUUCUUACGGUCUUACCACCUUAUGCAGUGGCUGCACUAGAAAACUACUAAUACAUACAUAAUUAAUGUCUUUUAUUACUGAUCCAUUUGAAAAUUGUUUAAUCCUCCUAGAAAUUUUUUUUUCAAAAAAAAAGAAAGCAUACAAUAAAUAAAAGACAAUAAAGAAACAAAUUAAACAAAUCAAGAGCUAGACCGAGAGCUAGUAGCGUGUUUUUUUUAGCUAGUGGUAUAAUUUUUUUUUUUGUAAUUAUGUUAAGAGCUAGACCGAGAGCUAGAUAAUAUUUCAUUGUACAUUAUACAAUCAAGAAAGUAUGAAGUGUUCAAAAGAAUAUAGACAAUUUCUAAUUAUAUGAAAGUUUAGAGAAAUAUGUAACAGUAGAAAUUUGCUGGAGGUAAAGAAAUAAAGGAUGCUUGAGCAGUAUUUUUCAUUUUCCUUUUUUCUUUUACCAGGAGGGUUGUGAAGUUAUAAGUUUGAGCUUAAGGUGUAUACAGUAAUUACAAAAUAUGCUAUUUAUAAUUUAAUUACAGUGAACACAAAAAAAAAAUCAAUUAAAUAAGUGGCACAUAUAUACAUGCUUUCAUAUUGCUUUUCUUUUCUUAAUGAACCUGUGUCAACUAGAUAACUUUUAGCUGACAACUUUUUGAUGCAUUUAGUACAGAAUUAGUGGUGCAGUCGGAAUAAUUACAUCUUUUUAAAGGGGGGUGGGGCUAAAUUCAUGCUAUGUAGUGACCACACCACAUGGGCUGGAAGAACCGUUGGCGUAGAUCUCACCCUUUUGUAAAGGAAAAGAAAGCUUAAUUCCGAAUAUUCACACACAAGCACACACACACAGAGAGAGAGAGAGAGAGAGAGAGAGAGAGAGAGAGAGAGAGAGUANNNNNNNNNNNNNNNNNNNNGAGAGAGAGAGAGAGUAUUCCAGCUUCUAGGGAUUAUCUAAAGAGGUUAGUGCAAGUGUUGCAUGGGAUAUCCUCAACCAGCUUUUAAAAAGUUGGUGGGGAGGUGUACAUGCAUGUGAGUUGCAGCAGUGACGAGUCCAUUACAAACCAUUUGCCUGCCGGAAAAGGCUGCUCAGCCUUUCCCUUUUCUUCCUACUUUAUUCCUUUACCUCUCACAAGAUGACAAAACGAAAAGCUCUCUCCUCCCCCUCUUGGUGCUUGAGCUACGAUCCUUUUAAUCUUUGCACCGUAUAGAACUGUAGAGUAUUCAUAGCCGCCAUCAAAAAGAUAAAUGAUCGUCAAACAAGACAUAUCUUAUAUGAUGUAUAAGAUUAUCUUAUUUAAUGAUCGUUCAUCUUUUAAUGACAGCUACCGAAUGCUCAUAAAUGAUCCGUAUUUAUUGCACUUCUGACCCUAGAAUUUUUACCUUGCUUCCAAGACAUCAUUAUUCAAUUCACCCACAUCCCCACAAUGAAGACCUUUUAAAUGAGCGCACAAAAGAUACAUAGCAUAUUGGUUUUCUUAGUGAUGUAUUAAUUAAUUGUGACAACCAAUAUUUAAAGCAAAUUUUUCAAUUGGAACCAUAUCACCUCGUAUAUUUUUAAUAAACAAAUAUAUAUGAUUAAUCAAAGAUCAAAUUAUACUAAUUGUUUAAUUACUUUAUGUUUUGGACAUAAAUACCUUAUAGGUAAGUUUGUCCGACAGGGAUAACAUGUACAUUCCUCUCAACAAUUUACUGUAGAGGCAGGUUACCAUGGAUCUUGAGCAUCACUUGUUUACAAGUGUUCGCAGCAGGAUUUGAUGUUUGAUGUUGAAAGGAACCAUAUAAAUGUAGGAGAAGGAAGCAGCAUCAAGAUUCAAGAUAGUGAUGCAGCUCUGUCAAAGAGAUACAAAACCAAGUGUCCACUCAGUCUGAAGUUUGAAUUCAGAAACGAUGGCUCAGAGCUGUGAAACAUAGAAUUGAGAAAUGAUGGCUGUGGUCCAAGGCUCCAUAGUUGCUUUGUGGACUGCACAUUCAUCCCACAACUUGAAAUGCGUGAAGGAUCGCAAACCAAGGGCGUGCUCUCCUUGAUAUCUGUGAAAAUUGGUCAGCUCCAAAGGUUGCUGAAAAGGACAGCGUGGGUACCGUAGCCCCACCUGAUCCCUCUCUCAUAUCUAAAGUUCAUUGUGAUUCAGAGCAAAGCUACCAAUAUAAAUAACAUGAAUUCAAACCAAAGAUCACUAUAUCUCAUUAGAAGUGUAACAGCAGCAAACAUCUUCUGUGACUCAAGAAAAAUCAGAAGGUAGUUUUAGAAGACUAAUAAAAUUAUUACCAAUUCACUAUUUUUUUCAGCAGGGCCACCUUGUAAGCCAAAGAAAGCAGCAAGAGAGCCAAUGUGAUUGCGGAGAACAUGCUAGUAAUCAAAGCAAAGCCCCAUCUGAAUUAUGUUUCAUGAGUAUCAGCUGUGAUAACAGUAGCCUGCUGUAAUUCCAUCAAAAGCAUUAACCAACGGAUCAUUUUAAGUUCUAAAGAUACCUGCUAAACUGCAGCUAUAUGGAAAAAUCAUUAUCAUUUUAAAUUCUAACAUUAAUGAUCGAGAUCAUUCAUGAAAAACAGCAAUCUUUAUAUGUAGAAGUAACAGAACUGCAUUUAGGACAAUAAUGUAGAGCAAUAUAUCAUACUAAUAUUCACCUAUAUGCAGGAUAGGAUGCUUUUGAGAGUAUUUGGUUCCAAAUACUUCUUAAUGGAAAACAAUGCAGAGCCUCUCGAAAUGGAAAAAAAAACAGCACUGUUGAUCAUUAUCCGGGAUGUAUAGAAAGCUAAAAAAUAUUUAAGUUGGAUCUCUUUUGCUAGCAUGUCUAGCCAUGAAAAAUAAAUGAUAGCAAUAUAGCUAGUUAGCAAAAACACAGCAUAGACUUUUUGACUUGCACUUCAAACCAUUGAACUUGAUCUAAAUAUUUAAAAUAUAUAUAGAUUAAAAUUUACUUAUUUUAUAUGCUUCUAAGCUAUAGCGCAAAUUAAAACAUAAUAUCAUGUUAUUGAAAUUAUCAAAUUUAUCUUACUUUGAUGCAUUAGCAAAGGGCCUUGAGAAUUCAUGAUUUUUGGUUUCUAGUCGUUUUAUAUAUUAUAUAUCAUGAUCAAUUUUAUCAAUUUUCAUUUUUAAGAAACCAUUCAUUAUUUGGCUCUAAAUGCUUCCUAAUGAAAACCAAUAAAGGCCUCUUAAAAUGAAACCAGCAAUAUUGAUCAUGAUUUAAGAUAUAAAAAAUGGCUAGAUCCAAAAACUACGAAUUUUUGAAAUCUUUUACUCCUACUAUAUCAUGUUUUAGUUUGAUCAAUAGUUUAGAAAUAUAAAAAUUAGCUAAGAUUUAUUAUAUAUAUAAUUUAAUAUAUUUUAGCUAAAAUACCAAUGGCAGCUAAAAUUUCCUCCAACAAAAAAAGCUUGAUAUUUUUGGUCUUUAGCCAUAAACAAGAGGCCAACAUACCAGCUAAGGUCGCAAUUUGUAUGGAGUCUCAUAAAAGAUGCAAAGACCUCCAAAAGCUGGUGCAAUAGUGGGGGAAAAUAAUUGCAGGCUUCUCUUAAUAGAUCUUUUGUUCGUAGAACUGGUCAUACAAUUUUAGGUCUUGGAUCACAAAGAAAAUAUGUAUUUACCUUGUAAAUUAAUCAAUCAUCAAUCAAGCAGUAAAAAUUUGUCCAAUGAUUAAUAAUUCAUGUUUUGGUUAGUUAAGUGAAAUGGUAAUCAAGAUAAAACACACAUGGCAUCAACAUUAGAUGUGCUAUGACUUCUAGUAUUAAAUAUUAUGAACACAAUUACAAGUGAAGAUGCAUAGUAUUUGAAGAUGAUGAGAAGCAAUUUGAAUACAAAAGUCAAGCCAACAAGAAGAAACUCCGAUAGGAUUAUUUACCAAAAGUAAUUGGAGGAGUGUGUGUGGAAGAGACUUUACUAAAUAGGCUCCACAACUUUAUAAAUAUUGGUAAAUAUCCAUAACUCUUAACCUUCAUAGAGGCAAGAUCUGAACUCUAGUGUGACACAACCACCAAGAGACUUUAUUACCUUGGUAAAUUAGCAUUUUCCUCAUAUCUAAAUAGUUGUUUAGAGGAGAGAAUACUAGACAUCUAUUUAAGAAGGUGAACUAAAAAUACAAGGAGACAAACCUCGCUCGACGAGUAUUGAGAUGUCACCUUGACUCAUUCUAUUGUAAUUCAAACAUUUGAAAUUACUAUUGUAACUUAAUAUUGUUGUAACUAGGGCUAAUAUAUCUUGACUGGCACAUUUUAUACUGGAUUAAAUCUCUUCAUGUAUAUAUUCGUGAAGUUCAAGAAGAUUAUACUCAACUUCUACAUGGUCAUACCAAAAUUAGCAAGAUAAGAUAUCCAAAGACUAAUUGUUGCUUGUCCCAUGGACAUGCAUGAACUAAAUUUUCCAAUCAAUGACCUCUUGAGUUGGUAUCUGGACCUAAUAAUGGUUGAAAUUUGAAAUAAUUUUAUCUCGAUCUCCACGAGGUAACUUGUAUCAAAUAGGCAAUUUUUUCUGAAGUUUAAAACCAAAUAUGGAACCAAGUACAACAAAUGCAGAUCUCAUCAUAUCUUCCUCCACCAAGUUGUACGAUCCAUUGAUGCUUUAAUUAUGAACAAAUUCAAUGACAGAAAUCAAUAAAUGGAUCAAUAAACCAUUCUUGAAUGAAUCUACUAUAUAUAUCUAUGAUAUAUAUCUAAAAUAGAUACUUUGCUUGUCUAGAGCUCUCUAUUCAUCAUGUGGAUUUACCGAUAUUAAUGAUGCAAAUAUUAAUCAAUUUGGCCAUCAUUAAAAUUUGUUGCCUAAUAUAACGGAUAUUAAUGACACUGGUAUUGAUGUGCUGCCAUCACUAAAGUUUAUAGCUUAAUAUGAAACAGAAAUUUGUUUAUUAGAGCCUCCUAUCGAUUAUAAUUUGUUACAUUGUCAUAUUGCAUUUCGAAAAUAAUUAGAAAAGAAGAUAAAAUUAUUCCCCACAUAUCAUGCGGGGCCAAUGUUAAUGAUGCCAACAAUAAUGAUAGAAAUUUUUGCCCGAAAUUAAUGAAGCCGAUAUUCAUACACUCGAACAUAAAGUUCAUUGCCUAAUAUGUAACAAACAUUAAUAAUAUCAUAUGAAUAUAAUUCGCCAUAUGAACAUUAAAAUUAAAGAUGUCAAAACUAAUAUGCUCAAUCAUUAUUAAAGUUCAUUACUUAAUAUGCAAUAAAUAUUAAUAACAUUAGUAUUAAUGUGCUCUACCAUCACUAAAAAUUUAAUACUUAAUAUAUAAUAGAAACUUAGUUAAUAAAAAUUUGUAUUUAUUAUAAUUUGUUAUAUUAUCAUAUUGCAUUUCAAAGAGAGUUGGAUGAAAGAGAGAAAUUAUAUCCCAUGCAUUGCCCAAGGCCAAUGUUUAUUACACCAAUAUUAAUGAUAAGAGUUUCUACAUAGAGACUCAGCUUGUACAGAAUCCGAAAUUAGUAUAUUAGUACUAAUUGGACUAUAUUAGUACCUUGUUUUCGCAAUGUAUAACAUUUAUUGGGAGAAAAUAACAAGCAAUUGUAGAAGACAUAAUCCGGAAUUUUCAGCUAAGAAUGUGCUAUUUUUUUGCGGGUGUGUUUGCAAAUCUCCAUGAGUGUGGCAUUAAAUGUUCAUAGGUUCGAGGACCUGCCACUUCUUCGAUACACACAGCAUCUGAGAUUUCUAUCAAGUCCUCCUCUGUGAGCUUCACACUUAAUGAGCCAAUGUUGUCGUCCAAGUUCUUUAUCUUGGUCGUUCCUAAAAGAGAAAAAGAAUAAGAUCAGUACAUAACCCAAGUUCAUAAUAAAGGUGCAUUAAUUUUUAAAUAUCUCAAUGUUAUUACUAUGCUUAAUCAUUUAAUUUCGCAUAUUCCGUAUGGGACCCAAAAGAAAACAUCUUGUUCUUCAUAAGUCAUGGGACUUCCAAUGGCAAGCAAAACCUCUUAAUUAAUAGACAUCAUUAAAGAUAUACAAUUUUUCUCUUUAUAAUCUUAGUUGCCUCAAGAUUAAAAGACAUCAUCACCCCCCCAACCCCACCAAUAACAAAAACAGAAAGGAUCUUAGCUGCCUCCACAUUGAAAAGUUUACAUGUUGCGAGGCAAAUUAGAAAAAUUAAAUAACAGACCUUCCUACUUCCUUGCAUUAUGUAAACCAUGAUGCUACUAUUAAACCUGUUGUACAAGAUGAGACAAAGUCUACUUCAAGAUGCUUUUAUUAAACUUAGAUAUUGGAUUAAGUUGUAAGUUUUUAAAGCUUCACCUAGUCGAAUGGGACUAAAAGUAUGCAUGCAUUUCAGCCUGCAAUAGAUAGCUUGGAUUUGUUAGUCACUGCGACGAUUAUAAUGUAUCACUAGAACAUAUCAGAAGACUGACCAUCUGCCUCAUCAAUGAUACCUGAAAAAGACAAUAAGGAAUCCAGUUUUCAUUCAAUUUUAAACUUAUCUGUUCAAAGGAUUUGAGAGUCCUAUAUAACUCCAAUCUCUUUUUUUUCAGAAAAGUUAUAAUCUCAAUUAAUGUUUCAUACAAGUUGACUCGACAAAGAUGAAGUAAAUCAUUCAUCAUCAUCAUCAUUCCUUUUCAAUUGUUGAGGUUCCAAUAGUCUCCACUAAUGAAAUAGGAAAGGCAUUGUGACUCUCCCUUCUUAACUGACAUUUUCUUUGUAGCAAGACCAUCUUUUUUUCUUUUGGAAAGACAUGUGCCGAAGUUCCAAUAAUACUUAAAUUAAAGGGUAAAAGCAAAUGUCUUUCUCUACUCCAUCAAAGAGGGUGAAAGGAAAGAAAAGGAGAAGAAAUCUAAGGAAGCCGAAUAGUUUAGCAGAGAAGGGACAGAGAGGGGAAGGAGGGAGGUUGAGAGGGAGAAAUGGAUUAUAGUUCUGUGCCUCCUCUGAAAUAUUUUCCUUUUUUACCCUUUCGAAGGUCAUGUGCAAAGCAUAUGCCAAAUACUAGUUACUUUAUAUGAAAGGCAACCCUUCGCAGGUUCAAGAGUUUAUCCUCUAAUGAGAAGCAAGUGAUUGCUUGCAUCUACAAUUUUUAUAAUAAUGUAUUCUUGUCCAAUCAUGUUUUUUUUUAAGCGAAAAAUAUAAUUUAUUUUUUGGCCUUCUUUUAUCGACUCUAAUAUGCCUCAUUAUUUAGUAACUUGGUGUAGAUGAUAUUCUUGUUGUUUUGAAGGGUAGUUGCAUGAAACAAUUGAACUCAACAUGCUAAUCAUAAAUCAAAAUAGGCAUUGAUCGAUGUCUCCAUAAAGGGAAUGAGGACUUGGUAUCUCUUCCCCAUCUUAUUAUUAUAUUCUGUUUUUUGUCUCGUAUAGUUGGUGAGAAAAUGAAUGAUUACAAACCAGUGAAAUGAUUUUUCUGUUUGACGCAUUUUAGGCAAUGUAGAUCAUGAUCUACUGUGCAGACUUUAAUUUUGAGAGCAUUAAAAUUAUUGUCAUUGGAAAGCAUUUGGGGUGAAAAAUUCUCAAAAGCUCUAUUGCCGUUUCUCCAUCUUUUGUCUGUAAAAAUAUCAAAAGUAUCAUUGCUGUCUAUCAUUUACGUGCUUGUGUCUAUUUCUCUCUAUGCAUGUGCAUGUAUAGUACUAGAUUACACACGAAAUGUUAAAUCCUUUAUAAAGAUUUAACAGAAUCGAUGAUGGGGCCUUCAAAUUGAAGAUCAACAUAGUUUAUUGUCAUAUAUAAAUUAAUAACAGUAAUCUUUUGCUUAGGAUUCUGUACUCACUUCAGAAUAUCCAUGGAAAUUCAGCCUAAAAAAUGUCUAGAAACCAACUGGUUUUUAACCUAUGGAUCAACUGGGUACAAAAUUGGAUGGAUUUAACUAAAUGUUAUCAUAUUUUGCAUUGAUUAAAAAGUGGGAUUUCAGUUUAAAUGCCUAAAUUUUUUUUUUCAGCACUAGUCAAUGAUCAUCUUCCAGUUUUUUGCAUUCACUUGAUACAAAGGUUACAGAUAUCCAGAAUAUAUGACCUUUUAUCUUUAGGCAUUUUCAGAGAUAAAAUCAACGGUAUAGAUUUUUGCUUCAUAUGACCAAUUAUCGAUUUUGAACUCAUUAAAUAUUUUACCAAAUAUUCAGCAUUUAGUAUAAAAUCCAACUCACAAGUGCGUGCACGCAUGCAUUUGUAUGAACUUAUACAUAUUGUCCAACUUUUGUUUUGCUAGGCUCGGUUGGGAAAAUUUUCAGAAAACCUGUACUCAGUCUAAAACUUUUGAGGCCAAGUCUGGGUUUUAUGCAGCUAGUCCACCCAAAGAAAUCCAAGGCCACAUCAUCUGAUGAUAUACAUUCUGAUAUGCAUGAAACCGUAUCUAUAAACUGAGAUAAUGCUUGACAAUGCAAGGAAAUCAUCUAUGCAUGAUCAUGAACAUUACCAUGCAUAUAACAUUAUCAUAACCAUGUCCAUGACCAUCAAGCCUUAUCCUAACCAUUCAGGUUGGCUUUAAGAAUCGUCAUUAACCAAUCAUUCUUUCUGAUGGCUAGAUCUGGUGUUAUUGCAAGUUGUACUUACUAGAGAAGUUAAAGAACAAAACUGAAGAUACAGUGCUAGUAACUAAGAAUGUCAAAAUGAAAGAUGAUACAGUACAAGUGAUAUAGCAUAGUUGUUGAUAAUUGAAAAGGCUCGUGGUGAUGAAGAUUGAAGACAAUAACUAGGUUUUGCUACAAGUCGGGUUUGACUUCCAAAGCAGACUCAAGCAACAAUAAGAUAGGUAAGAUCUAAAAUGCUGCCCUGGGUGAUGAAGUAGUUUCCAAGGCUAAUAACAUAAGUUGGUUAGGUGGCUAGCAACUAACCCAUGAAAAACAAUGGGUUAUUAACUAGCAAGCAGACUCAAUUUACAACAUGAUAAACAAAGGAUAAAAUAGUAACGAAAUGAUGUUCCAGGAAAAAUGAAGCAAAGAGGUUGACAAGAAGCUAAUUUUCACAUCAAUAGUCAUGAGACAAGGAAUGAAGCUAGACAUAAUCAUAGCAUAAGAGGAAAUUACACGACUGGUCAGAAAGAUGUGAAGGUGUCAAGCCGGCAUAAUCAUACUCCAACUAAAAGGCAUAGUUCCGAUAUAAAAGUGUAACAACUCCAAAAUCCAGCAAUUUGAACAGACUAAGAAAAAGCAAUCCAAAGAUGCACCAAAGGAAAACUUAUCCUUGUUCUGAUGGACUAAGGACAAAAAGUAGAGCGAAUAGCAAUGACGAAGAAAAUAUAAGCUAAGAAAUGGGAAGGUUAAGGGCUAAGCCAAAACAAGAGGGAUGAGUGAAGGUCAGAACACAAUGAAUAUAAAAUGCUUAUAAUAAGACUCCUAUAUUAAACAGUCAGAUAGUAUACCAAACUCAAUAUAAUGCUAAGGAUGGUAAUAACCACGGACUAGCAAUAUGUUGUGGAUAUGAUGAAUGUGUGGUCUGCAAAGAUCUUGAUGCCAAACCAAGACUGACAGAUUAAUUACUGGGAAAGCUUAACUUGUAGAAGUUUGAAGAGUUCCACUAUGAUCAGAAUUAUAAGCUCCCAGAAGCAAUCCAUAUUAGUCAGAUCCAAAAGUGACUCCGCACUAAAAAAAAAAAGAAGGAAAGAUUUAAAUACUUGAAUAUGUCCAAGUACCAAAAAUGUUAGUGGGGAAAAAUUUGAGAAUGACACACCUUAAAGUCUCCAAUCAAACUAGGAAAAGGAUGAAGGAAGAACAAUGAUAUCUGACAAGGCUUAAGAAGACAUAAUCAGCUAGUUGAAGACUGUAAAAUAUGAUAGAUUCCUAAAUAAACUGUAGGCUGAUGAUAAUUAAAUUAAGGUGUCUCAUAAAGACCAAAUAAGAGUGUACUUCUAAAAUUUGGUUGUAAUUAUAGCUUAAGCACAAAAUACUAAAUAAAAGAGCCUAGUAAGUAGAAAAAAAUAAAGCUAUCUUAGAUCUUUGGAUCUACCACUUGGUGUCAAAAGGCAAAACUAAAGCAAGCAAAAAAGAGCUAAACCAAUUUUAUGGUGAUUUGAUUGCAAAGAAAGACAGAGAAAACCAUCAAUUAUUAAAAGUCCACAUAGUAAUUUGGUAAAAAAUUAGGCAUGGAGCAAAAAUGACAAAAUUUUUCAUACUUGUUACUCUGUAUUCUCAAAUUUCAACACGUCACAAUAACACAUCAUGUAUCUUGUAGACCUUGGAUCUCAUGACUUCAAUUUAUAUUCAUUGUGAUUGUCAGAUUAUAGCAGAGACACAAGAGAUUGAUAUCAGGUGGCAACACUAGAACUGACCCAAGAAAAGUAAAAUAUACCUAGGAAAGAGAUGAGUGGUAGAGGUAUUCUAGAAGACCUGACUCCCUACUUUCCUUACAUAUGUGAAGAAGCUUAUACGUACACAGGUUUUAGGGAAAAAAGAACAAAAGCAAUAUCAAAGAUAAAAAAAUUAUUCAAGAGGAAAUGUGAGUAUGCCUGUAGCCAGGUGAUCAUAGUGAUAGAAGUAAUGUAGCUUCUAACGAGGACGAUAAAUCAUGGAAUAUAAGAAUAGCAAUUAAAUGGAGCCAAUGCUUACAUUUUUAAAAAGAGUUUAGCAAGAAAGCGGAGCAGGAGGUUCGAGUGGCACAUUGAGAUUUAGAUCAAUGCAUCAGCAAGAGGAGGUAAAGUAUAGAGGUCAAGGUCUCAUUAUGUGGGAGUUCUUCCAGGAGUUCUAUCUAGUGCUUGAAUACAGCCUCAGGUACCUAGGCCCCAUUUGGGGGAGCUGUUGGCAGUAGAGCUUUUGAAAGUAGAGCUUUCUAAAGUAGAGCGUUUAUAAAAAGUUGUUUGUUGUUUGGUAACUACAUUUCUAAAGUAUUGUAGCACUUUAAUAUGCAUUUGGUAAACAAACUGAGAAAUUACUUUGGCAUGACAAAUAGACCAUAAAGGACAUUAUAUAGUAUUAUACAACNNNNNNNNNNNNNNNNNNNNNNNNNNNNNNNNNNNNNNNNNNNNNNNNNNNNNNNNNAUUAUAAUAUAGUAAUAUAAUAUUGUAUACUAUAGCAUAAUAAUUUAAUAUAAUACUAAAUUAUUUAACAGAACAUAUCAAUGUAUUAUGAUAUAACGUAAUAUAACAUUAUAUUUAUAGUAUAAUACAAUAACAAAGAUAUAAAAUAUUAUAAUUAUCAGUAUAAAUUAAUUUCUCAUAAUAUAACAUAAUAUUAAAUUAUUUAACAUAACAUAUUAAUGUAUUAUGAUAUACUGUAAUAUAAUAUUAUAUUUAUAGUAUAAUACAAUAAUAAAGGUAUAAAAUAUUAUAAUUAUUAGUGUAAAUUAAUUUUUCACCCUUCUGUAGAUUUGCAAAAUUAUAAAGGGAUAUUUUGUGUAAUUGUUAUAUUCUAUCACAGGUAUUUUGGUCAAAAAAAUCGCUUUCUGACGGAGCCUAAAAGUGCUUUUCCGGAAAGCUUCAAAAUAAAGCUUCUCCCAAAAGUUGUUUUUAGCUUUCUGGAAAAGCAAAAAAAGUUUUCCGAAAUGUUUAUCAAACACCUCUAUUUCAUUUAAAAGUGCUUUUUGACCCUCCAAAAGCUCCCCCAAACGGGGCCUUAGUCCUAUUGACCAUUUUUUGUAUCGUAACUAGCCAAAAACAUUUGUGCUUAAGGUGGAGUGGCAAAUGUGAAGAAAAAAUUGACAGGGUUAUUGCAAAGUUUUUCAAAUUCAACCACAUUCUCUUCAGUGUAGUUGACCGUAAAUAUUGCUAUAGCAUGAUUGAAGCAAUUGAGGAGGCGACUCAUAGUGUAGAUCCACUGACCGCUUAUGAGAACUCAAAUACAUAUUUGAAUGAGGAAAUGAAUGGAACAAGGAUACAUAUUGACACAUUUAAGAGAUAUUGGAAUUAAUUAGGUUGUAGAUUAAUGUGUGAUGGUUGGACAAUCGAAAACAAAAGGAACAUGCAUAAUCAAUUUCAUUAUCUACAACUGCCAUGGCAUAGUGUUUCUAAAUUAGUAGAUGCCAUUGCUCACUCCGGAAACAGUGAGUAUAUAUUUCAGUUGAUGAAUUUUGUGAUUAAAGAGAUUGAUGAGACUUAUGUGGUGCAUGUUGUUACUGAUAAUGAAAUAAGUACAACAUAGGAGGAUAACUAUUAAUAGAGAAGUCAAAGCACUGGAUUAAGAUAUUGCAAAAAAAACAAAGAUCAGGGAUGUCAUUUCUUAGGGACAAUUCUUGAUUGGAUUUGUAUAUAACCAUGGAUGGAAAGUUAGUUUUACAAGGAGGGAGACAAGAAACAAGGAGCUCAUUCAACCUACCAUAACACAAUUUGUCACUCAUUUUCUAUCCUUGCUGUGCAUAUACAAGCAUUAUAAUGAUCUCGUGAGUAUUCACCUUAUAGGAUUGGAGUAACGGCAAGGAUAGGCUUAAGCCUAAGGAUUAGAUAGGAUGUGAAUGCCAUGGUUUUGACUUUUGAGUGAUAAAGUUCUGAAAAAAAGGACAAGAGAUGAACUUAGAAUGUUUUAACAUUUUGCAAAGGUGAGAUGGGCUUCUUGUACAAAACCAUGAAUCAGGCCAAGGAGGCUAUAAAGAAGAAUUACAUGAAUUGGUACCAGAAGUUUUCCGCCAUUUUUGAUAGCCAAUGGGACGAACAUAUUGACUGCAACAUAAAUGCAGCCAGCAUGAUUUGUUUUACUUUGUACCGUUAGUUUGUAUUGUACAUCCAAUUAUUGUUGAAUGUGAAUGGGUGAUUAUUGACAAGCAUGGAUUAAAGAAGUAUAUGUAUCAUGCAAAUUAUUUCUUAAAUCCUUAUUGAGCAUAUGCCAAGAGAUUUAUUGCUGAUAAUGAGGUUUUGCUAGCCUUAAAAGGGUGACCGAGAGAUUGGAAACCGAUAUAUCAAACCAGAUAAAAGCAGAUGAUAAAGUUAUUUUGUUUACUCUGUAAUUGUUAUAAUAUUUAUACACAAAAACUUAAGAUUCAAAAGAUGUUAGCUAACAAGAUCUAAUUUUUGUAAGUCUAGUGGAGCAUUACAGAUAGGAAGGUAGAAUUAGCAUUCAGAAGGCUAUGGUUGCCAUAUAAAGGGUCAUUCUAGGUAACCUCACUUAAAAUUUUCAUAAGAAUAUUUUAGAACUUCAUUUACCAUAUUGUAGAUUAAUAAAUUCACUAAUUCAGAAAUAUCUAUUCUUAUUUCAACAAAAUGCUGAUCUAUUUAUGGAAGGGAUGAUGUUCCAUAUUCGACACCAAUUGAUUUAAUAUCUUGAGUUAAACUGCAAAGAGGAUAAUAACUAACUUGAACUUAAUUACAAUGGGUGUCAGAUGUGGAGCAUCAUCUUUCCAAAAAUAGAACACCAUUUCUUCAAAAGAAGAAAAGGCGUUCCAAAUAGUCAAUUUAGUAUACAAUAUAGUUAAUGAAGUUAUUAUAUGUUAUUAUCUAUAUUUUAAGUGAAGUUACUUAGAGUAACAAUUUCUUAUACCAGCUAUAACCUUCCAAGUGCCAAAUCUAUCCUUCCUACAUCUAUAGUAACUCACCUAAACUUAUAAAAUUUAGAUCUCAUUAACCAACAUCUUUUGAUGCUUGAGCCUUUGAAUAUUAAUAUCAUAAUAACAACAUAAUAAAAAUGUUUACUUCACUAUCAACUUCUAUCUAGUUUGAUAUAUUAGGUUUAAUCUCUCAACUGCCCUUCCAAGGCCUACUGAAACCCUUUUGUGGUGAACUACUAAAACCUUGUUAUCAACAACAAAUCUCUCAGCAUAUAUGACAAGAGGAUUUAAGAAAAUAUCCUGCAUGACAUAUGCUGUACUUCUUCAAUAAUGUUCAUGAAUAAUCAACUGAAUUCAACCAAUAAUCUCAUAUAAAACAUAACCUCAAAAAUUAUAAGGAUACAAUUAAAUUGUAAUUGUUGCAUGCAUGUUACAGUAGAGCCGAUUAUCUCAUCGGCUAUCAAUAAUACCCACCAUUUUUGGUAUAACAGCACAAGACCUCGCCUAAAAAGGCAAGCCAAAAGUUAUAUUUUCGAUUCCUUGGUACUAAAUAGACAUCAAUGGAUCCGUAUAUACCCUCCUCAUUUAAGCCUUGGCAUCCUCACUAAGCUAACGGCUCAAAUUCUAUCAAAUCCAAUUACAAACACUACAAUUAGCCUAUGGUCAGCCCUACAAGGACCCAUGUUGUAGUGUCCCCUAGUCCAUAUAGGUCAUGGGCCAAAUUCGCUCUGAUACCAUUUGUAACGACCUUGAACCUCGCUCUAAAAGGCUAGUCCGAUGUUAUAUUUUAGAUUCCUUGGCCCUGUAUAAGUAUUCAAGAACUACCCAAUACAUAGCUAAUGUGAAAUUCAAUACAUGCUCCUCACAUUUUAUACCAUUUCUAUAAUUCUGGUUUAUUGGCCCUAUCCAUGGCUCAAAUAAGAAGUUGAUCUCAACAUGGUCAUCAUUAUCUAUCCUCUUCCAAAAUUUAUCACUCAAAGUCAUGGCAUAUACAUCCUCUAAUCUUUUUGUNNNNNNNNNNNNNNNNNNNNNNNNNNNNNCCAAGGGCUCAAGUGAAGCUUGGCCAUUACAUCGACCUUGUGAUGGAAGCGUUCUCUUAAGAUCAUCAUGAUAACCUUACAUGCACUAUAAGGCUAGGAAAUGAGUAGCAAAUCAUGUUAUGGAAGGCCGAACAAGCUCCCUAUUUCCUAUCUUCCUCAUCAUCAAAUUGAGUACCCAUCCAUAGUUAUAUAAGAAUCCAAUUAAUAGCUGUCCUUGACAAAUGACCUCUUUGAUCUUUGGUUCUUUUGCAAUAUCUUCCAACAUUGGAUCAAUACACUAUGCAGCAAAUGAAGUCCAAUAUAAGUUCUUUCUCUUGUCCAUCAAUAAUUAUAUUCCUAAUUUGUAAUUUGAUCCAUUAUUCAUAACAAUGUGCACCAACUGAGAUCUUCAACCAGUGAAUUCAUCAUUUUAAAAUUGUACUUGCUACUUUUAAAGUUAGUGGUAUCUAUUGAUUACACAACAAAUUGGGUCUAUCGAUAAGAAAGAUUAUUGUCUAUUGUCCAACCAUAAUAUGCUGAUAUAUAGCCUGAUUCAUCCAGUACAUCUUAAAUGUAUCUAUAUAUGUCUGGUUGUCAUUCACUCAUCAUUCAAAUAUGCAUUUAAGAUGUCAUAAGUGGUCAAUAGGUCCACACUUCUGGUUUUCAUGGUAAUAUCUUUGUUCAGCUAUAUUGAAGACGAUAUAUGGUUGAUAAUGAAAAACUUUGCAAUAGCCCCCACUAAGGGUUGCCUUUUUAAAUGCUUCAACCAUACCAAUGGUAAUAUCUAUUUCCAGCUAUAUCGAAAGGGAUGAGAUUGAAUAUGAGGAACUUUCGACCCCAUUAUUAAAAAACUGGUCAACAAGACCAGGUACUUGAUGUCCUACUCCUGCAUUAAGGGAAACCCUUAGCACUAGAAGACCUCCCACCCAAUCCAAGGCCUUGAGCUCCAAACUUUACCUCCAUGACCUUGCAUGUCUGCUAAACUCGUCCAGAUGCAUUCAUUUGUUUUGUUUUAUUCUUAUUCUUAUAUCCCGUCUCUCAUUGUCCUCAUCAAAAUCUGCAUCACUACUAUCAUGUCAUCGCCUACAGCUAAAAUCAUACUCUAUAAUAUUUUCUCCUUCCCAAUUGCAAUCUGUUUUUCUUUCCUUCCUAAAACAUGUCCAUGAUUAGCUUCUUGAUAUCUACAAGGACUUUAUGUCAGUGUGUCAUAUUUUCUUGAAUCCAUGCUAGUUUCAAGUCGACAUUCAUCUCCUUUCCACUAUAGGUGCAGUUUACUCUUAUCAGAUCUCCAUCAUACUACAGUGCAGCCAUUUAUGUUACACAGACUCCGGUUCAUGUGUCAAAUACUAGUAGUCUAGUACUUUUCUUAGUGUUGAAGGACUUGAAUCUUUUCAAUUUCUAAGUAUCAUACCAAUAUCUAUAUUUAGGUAUUGGUUGUGGAUACUUUAGGCUAAAUCAAAGGGUCUGGGAAACAUAAACUGCCACCAAAUAUCCAACUCCCAAGAGGACAUAUCAUGGAGCCAUAAUCUAAUAAUCAAAGUAAGUACUACUCAAAGUCACUAGAUACAAGGCAUACAAGACAUAACAUAAUUUAUUAUUAUAACAUGUUGAAACUUCAGAGAGGCGUGUAACAAACUAGACAAAUUUUGUUAUGUUUGUUCCAUAUUUGAUUAGCUACUUUAUAACAAAGUACCAUACCAAUUUUAGCCAUUUUUUCUCCAUUCAUUUAGGUUAUUUUUUUGGAUAUGUUGUUAAGUAAGACCCAAUCUAACCCUAUGGAAAAUUAUUUUUUAAACUAAUUUUUUAUUUUAUAAAUUUAUUUAUCUUAAAAUAUUUAAAUUAAAGCAUUAAAGAAAUACUUUUUAGAAAUAAAUUAUGGUAACAUGAUUGUGUUAUAUAUAGUAGCUAACUACAAGCUGAUCAACAUGAUUUUACAUGCCUCUCCAUAUUUGACCCGAACCUAUACCCACAAAUUAGCAUAAGUUUAAAACCCCAAUAUAUUUAUAUGGAGUAUUGAUAGGUCAAUUUACAAAAUCUCUCAAAAUAAUUAAAUUUUAAAAUUAAACUGAUUUUAAAAAUUCUAUUUUGAUUAAAUAAUUAUUAAAAUAUUAAAUACUAAAAAAAAUAAAGGAUAAUUGUCAUUCUUACUUAUUGGAAAGAAAUCAUGUCUUCUUCAUUUGGGAAGAAAGUGAAAGAAGACCUAGGGAGGACCUACAAUUCAUGCCAUGGACCCGACACCUACCAUGACCAAGCAAUAAUGCCCAGAUGACUAAAUAAAGACAAGAAAACUAUAACGAAAGAGAAGAAGAAUAAAUAAAGGAUGAUAAGAAGAAUACAAGGACCGCAUCAGAAAGUAGUUCAUUUUCAAUUACAUCCCAGUGUCUCGAUGGGAACACUUUUUCCUCUCCAUGAUCAUUGUAAUGUACAAGGCUAGGCCUGGUAUUGAGCCUCCUGUGCCAUAGGAGAGACACAGGCCAUUUCUGCAGAAAGAGGCUGAGGAUAUUGGGGUUUAGAUCAACUCCUAUAAAGCCCAGUUGUUGUUUCCUAGACCAACUAGGAGCAUUAUUAACUUCUUGUGUACUGUGACAGAGUGAUCUUCCACAAGUCCAUCCGAUGACUAACCAUGUCCAAGACUAUGACUACAUCCAUGGUCCGAUAAGAGAGGUCAUUUGAGAAAAUCCGGGAGUAUUAUUUUGAGCAAAUGGCGACAAACAAUGACCCUCAAUACAAGAAGGCAGGAGGAUUUGAUGAUUAAGAUGCCAUAUUUUUACUAUUUAGGGUUUAGCGUUUACGAUUAUAUAGCAAACUAUAUAGGUUUGAUGCUAAAGGAUAUUGGAGACUUGCCACAUGUGAAGACAGCUGUGGAGAGCAGGCAAGCAAACUCCAAAUACAUGUAAUUCAUACCUGGCCAAUUGCUCUUAUGUGAUUGUAUGUGGGUGGAUAGAUUCUUAGUCCUAGCAUGACAGAAUUUGCCACAAACUAAAUGGUACCAAAGAGCCUCUUUGAUAAGAAGCAAAGUCUCAGAAUGAUGUUUGCAUCAAAUGAGUGAAAGAGUUUCAGAUAUGGUGGGUUAGAAGAGGGCCAAAAAAUUAAGGACAUUAUCCUAAGUCAGGCUUUUGGAUAAAGCGCUGCCGUGGUUAGUGUGGAGCCCUACUUUGUGGUAUUGGGGGCAGUGGAUAGUGGAGGUGAUCACAAAUGGUCUAUUUUUACAUCAAGAUGCAGAUUGCGUGGCAACAGAUCAUAGAGAAAGCGGGUGCGAGGUAGACUGGACCAUACUUGCACAUCAUCAAGAAUUGAUGGGACACUUAGAUGGGUGGGUAGUUGUACCUAGCAAGUAAAACCUCAUCAAAUCUCAAAGCCUUUAUCAUAUUUGCUUGAAUAAUAGUUUUUAUCUUACAGUGGUUAUUAGCUUUGUUCUUUUGUUUGCUAUGCAACCAAGCAUCUGAAUCCCAAAUACUGAUACACAGAACCCAUUUGCCUAAAAUGAAGACUUGCUUCAGGGAGUUAGAAGGGUGGCACAACUGAUGAAGGGUAAUGAUGGCUUAGCUGCACAAACCACAAGGAGGUAAUAAACUAAAUUAGGGUUGAUGGCCAUCGAGGUAUGGUAUUUGAUAUCCAAAUGCCAUUAACAUCAAGUCUAUAAUGGCUGAUCGAGGAAAAAUAUUCAGUGAGGGAAACAAUAGUUUUGGAGAACAGGGAGAACAGAAAUCAAUAUCAGGGAUGUCUUCGUGGAUCAUUAGCAAACAAUAGAUAGUUUCAGUUCAUGUGAAUUUAAUGACUUUAAGUCUUAUAUAGCCAUGUAUUUUUUGAUUGUAGGGGAGUGAUGGGUCCAAUGAGGCACCUCUACACCACAUCUAAGGAAGAUUGCCUUCUUGGUUCUCUCACAAACUGGAAUAUCUUUCUGCUGAUCUAUAGCAAAGAGCAAAAUCGCUUGGCCAGCAAGAGGCUGCAUGACUUGGUAUUCAUAUACUACAAUCAAGUACAUCAAUGAUUCAAGAUCAUCAAUGAGGGCAAAAAGAAGCAUGAUAUGGCCCACUAAAGGAUGACUUUGCCCUCGACAAGGAUGAUCCUAUGAUUAGAUGGGUUGCUGAUCAAUAAACUCGUGACUAGCUAGUGUUAGAUGAGCUAGGGAAAUCCUCCAUGACUAGAUAGAGCCAUUGCAAAGGUAGGUGUUUGAAACACAGAAAGAUGAGUGGAGGAGAAUGUUUCACUCAGUUGAACACCCAACUGUCUGAAGAGGCUUCAAUCAGUAGCUUGAUCAUAGGAUUUUCAGGAAAUUAGGGAGUGAUACACAUGCCUCCAAGGCUAGUCAAGGCACAUGGAUCACUAGCAAGCUAGGGCAAGGAAGGGCACAAGGAAACUUGGUCAAGCCAAAUCAGUUUCAUAAUGGUAGCAACAAAGGAAAAUCAAAAUGAGAACAUGUAAGUCAAUCCAGUGGAUGCAACUAAAAACAUAUUGGUCCAAGACAAUGAUGACAAGACACCGAAGCCAUCAAAUCCCAGCUUGGGUAGAUCAUCUCGCGAUAAUGACGAUAAUCAAGAUCUGUCAUACCGCCUCAUACCACCCGAUACAAGGCGUACCGUACCGUAUUGAAAGAAAACUGGUACAAAACACACCUUCAUGUCAGUACAAGUCUCGUACCGCUCAUAUCAAGGCGUACCGAGGUACGUACCGGUCCAUACCAAGAAAUACCGAGAUAAAUAUUGAGAAAAAUAAUUAGAAACUCUCGAUAUAGAGGUAUGUCAUACUGUACCGAACCAAUAAAGUAACGAUACGGUACAUGGUAUCGAAAUUGCGGACCUUGGCGAUAAUGAUAAUGAUAGCUUCGGUGAUAAGUCUAAAGGUUAGAAUGCACAAGGUGGUUAGGACGGAGGUGAUUUCUCAGAGUUUUGAUCUAUUCACCAGUAAGGCAAGAUUCAUGUGUGCCACACAAGCUGCUGACCAUGGGGCUAGAUCAAAAUACAAUCAUAAGAAAGACAUCAUACAAGAGAAGUUCCAAAACUAGUAUCGGAUGCAACAAAAGGUAGCAUGGAAGACUCGAGAGCUUUUAUGCGAAUUGGAGGGAGUGGAUACUAGAGAAAGAUCUACCAAAGCGUUAGAUAGCCAUGGGGCUCAGCAAACUUCAUCUAUACUAGAGGUAAAUCUCCUGUUGCAUCUAAUAGAGUGGAUAGUAUGCUCCAUACACAUAUGAUUGAUAUGCAUACUUUCAGCCAUCAUACCAUAGUAGAGACGACCCUAUACAACAUUGCCCCUCCUAUAGAUAUGGGUAUACUCACAAUCCUACCACCCUGAGUAGGGAUAGUUGGGCUCCUAUGACUACCUGACAUACACACAACUUCAGUAGCAAGAGGCAUAUCUAGGUUACUAUUAGCCACUAUAUGACUAGCAGAGAUAGGAUAAUAUCCAAACUAUUAUCAGAUCUAAGCUCCAGAUUGUGAAUAACACACAAAUAUAGAUGAGGACCACAAAUGCUCGACCCAGGAUUGAAAUUUGAAAAUGAGUCAUUCUUGAUUGUUCUAUUACAAUAUUAUACAUUAUUUGCCAUUUUUUUAACUUAUUGUUGCAAUUUUUUUAAAUCUCGUCGAGUCCACGAGUAUUGGAACUGGCACCGAUACUUCGACAUCACACACCCCGUUAAACAUCACUAAUUCAUUAAAAAAGCAAAUCAAAAUUCACUUCAUAUCCAUAUUACAUAUCAAAAGAUAAAAAAUUGAAAAUAAAAAAAUAAAAAAUUUGUGCCUCAGUAUUGUGCUGGUACAAAACCCUACCAUAAGUUGGUAUAGGAAUAUUAUUCUAGUUCGAUAAUAAAUAUAUACCACCCUUAGUACCAGCGUUCGAUUUCUUAGCAGUAUGACUGUUGCAGCUCUAUAAGAUCAAAGGGUACAAUAGGCUGAAAAAAGCACUAGCUAGCAGCUAAAAAGAGGUUAAAAAGAGUAAGAAGGUAUCCCAACAACAUAAAACAAGCCAUGAAGAUUAAUAUCUGUCAAAGUUACUUUCAGCUUGUCCUCAAUCUUCUUGCACACUUCUAAUGAAAGAAAACAAAAAUGGGGAUGUUUAAUCCUUUUAGCUCAGUAUCAACCAAUACCAAAUGCCAUCCAUCAUGUAAAAUUAACAAAACUCAAUACAAGGUAUCAUCAUUCAAUAUCGAGCAACUUGCUUAGUAUCUUAAAUUGAUCCACUACCAAGUGUAAGUUAGCCUAGCGCAAUGGACGCCAACCACAUGGUCUUUCAACAGAAGCAUCUAAACAAAUGUGGGAUGAAUAUAUAUGUAUCCUUAGUUUUGAAGGUUCCAGUCGAUCUUGUGGUUUACUAACCCUUGAUGUGGUCCGAAUGCAACAAUUAAAUAUAUUUGCACACAUGGUUAAUUUAGAUGAUUUCCAUCUACACUACUAGUGUAGAUUAAACAGUUCAAUUAAUAGCAAAUCCUCCAUAAUAUCAAAAACUAAUUUAUUUGUUCAAACUCAUAUGUGCUAGGUGAUAACCAAUCUCCUAACCUUACAUAUUUUCAUAACAUGAUGUUCUAAAAUAUUGAUCAUGAGGAUUUCAGCAGGUAGAAAUAAGCUUUCAUCUUAUGCAUGAUAUGCUAAAUUAUUAUUAGAGCACUACAGAAUAUUGCUCACCGGGGAUGGGAACCACAUCAUUGCCUUGAUGAAGUAUCCAAGCUAGAGCAAGCUGAGCAGGGUUACGACAAUGCUUCAUGGCCAACUUCUCUAGUCGUGCAUAUAAUAUCUUGUUCUUUUCUAAGUUAUCUCCAGUGAAUCUAGGAUGUAAAGCCUAACAAAAAUAUUGAGGUAUAAUUAAUCAGUGGAAUUCAUUUUCAUAUAUGGAGGAAUUUAGCAUCUUAAGGAUGGAAAAGUUUGAAUUUUAUCCAAACAACAAGGUUAAUUUAAAAAGUCAAUUAAUCAAUUUCUUACCAAGUAACUUUGAGAUGGCAAACUUUCUACAACUGCUCUUCCCCCAAAAAACCCACGACCCAGAGGACUGUAUGGAACUAUCCCAAUGCCAAGUUCCCUGGAUGUAAAAGAAACUUUAUUUCUUUAAAUUGUGGUGCAGCAAAUUAACUAUUUUAGAGAAAGGAGACAUAACGAAAGCUCCAUAACUAUGAGUCUACAAUUAUUCUAAACAGAGGGAAAAAAAGAAAAAUUCACAAUCACUCAAGAUUUACUGACCCUUCUCUUCAAACAAGAUUGAUUAACCUUGAAAAAAAAUCACAAAUACUCACUCCCACCCAUAUAUUUAACUCAACCCAACAAAAAAGUCAAAGACAUCUGCAGAAGUCCAUGUACCAAGAAAACAGGCAGUCUUCUGAUCCAUACCUCUUGUUAGCAGGAAAUUUCUAAUCAAGUUUCUAAGCAGACAUAGUAUAAAGUUCAUCAUUUUAUAUGCUUUCAAAUGUAAAAUGUUAAAAGGGUAUUAUGCAUAUCUUUCCCCACGUGAAACUUUCAGUUAGUAAGUCUUUUUCCAAGACCUUGCAACUCUUUGGUGUUUAUCUGCAAGUAGCAAAAAGAAAGAAAAGGAAUCUUAUAGAAACUUCUCUUACCAUUAAAAUUUUAAGUAAGCAUUUAGGUUGCAAAAGUUUAGGAUUCGUUGCACCUUGAUGCAAGCCAACAUCCCAAAGAGAUAUGGCGAUAUAUGAAUGGGGACGAAGGAGAAGUUUUAGUAAUUAUUCACCAGAACGUAGGAAUAACUUAUUAAAAAUCCAUAAAAUCAAGGUUUGCUGUGCCGAAACCGGAAUCCGGACUGGUUAUCCGGCGGCACGGGUCGGUACGCCCCCAUACCGUUCCAUGCUGGGUCCAUACCAUUCCAUGCUGGGCUCGUACUAACACAGUAGAGGAGGCGAGAAAGAGAGAGAACGAGAGAAGAAAAGCAAGAGAAGAGGGAGAGAGGAAGGGAGACAGAAAGAGGGUGGCAGAGGCCGGCAGAGGGAAAGGAAGGAAGAGCGGAGGCUGGCGAGCUCUCUCUUCCUUCCUCUCCCUCUCCCUCCUUCCCCCACUUGCUCUCUUUUUUCCUCUCUUUCCUUCUCCUCCUCCGCGCGCUGGCCGGUCUCUGCUCUUCCUUCUUCUCCCUCUCCCUCCCUCCCCCGCUCGCUCUCUCUCUCUUUUUCUCUCUUUCCUUCUCCUUCUUCCCCUCCAUCGAAUGCUUUUCAUUUUGGUUGCCGGACCAUCCAAAUCCGCCGCCAACACGGCUUGGUAUUCUUCGAACCGCCUGGUUCGGGACGAUUCCGCUGACCUUGCAUAAACAGUGGAUAAACUCAUUCCCAAAUUUGAAUUCAUUAUUCCUCUAAUUGAAUCUUUUCGCAAAACCCUUACAACAAUACAUAAAGACACAAAAAUAAUUCUAGACCAAAUUUUAUUGAACUAAAAAAGAAAGUGGAACUCUUUCCUAGGUCUAAAAAAAGUAACAUAUCCUGAAAUACUCUAUAUUCACAAUUGAAAUAUACUAGAAAUAUAAGUAUGUUCUAUCCUCUACAUGAGUACCGAGAUCUAUGAUUGGAACAUAUGAUAGGAUCUCCCUCUUUUGCAAUAUUUUUUAUGCUGAUUUGUUCAUGAUAUAUUUAUUGAGGAGCUUUCAUCAGAAGGCUUUAGAAAGAUGUGUUCUUUCCUUCAAUGGAUAUUUGAAGAUUCAACAAAUCAAUAAAACAUAUGCCUCAGAGUUGCCUGUUUUAGAUUUUCCACAUAAAGUUCUCUCUUCCUUCUAUUGUUGUUUAUCAACUUAUGCAACCUAACAACCAUUUGAAAAUUACUGCACUUUUAAAGAUAAAUUUUGGACUCAAUGCUACAUAUGUUUUCUCAAGACAAAACAAAAAAAAUGAAAACUUGCAACCACAUGGCAAUCAUUUUAGGUUUGGAAUUUCAAGUAUACCUGCAAAGUGGGACAAUCUCCUCUUCGAUUUCACGAGUCCAUAAAGACCACUCCAUCUGCAACGCAGUGAUGGGAUGCACUGCAUGAGCACGCCUAAUUGUAUCUGGACUGGCCUCAGACAAUCCAAUGUAUUUGACCUUCCCCUCUUCCACCAACUUUUUGAGCUCCCGCAUCUACCUCCCGCGGAAACCCCAAAAAUAAAAAGAAAUAAAAAUUCAAAUCCAUCUAUCCAUUAACUUAACCAACAAGAAUUCUGAAUUGACUGCUUACAGUUUCUUCUAUAGGCACCAACUUGUCCACCCGGUGCUGGUAAUACAAAUCGAUGUAAUCUACACCAAGCCGUUCAAGGCUCGCCUCGCAGCUUGCCCGGACAUAUUCCGGAUUGCCCUUCACAAUCACCCCAGUCUGAUCAACCCCCGCAAUACCAAAUUUUGUGGCCAAUUGGACCUUCUCGCGGGGCAAUAGCUUCAAAACCUACAGAAAGAAUCGAUCUUUCUUACUUUCUGUCCAUUAACAAUCAAUCAAUUCCUCUCUCUAUAAAUCAAUUUCAACGAAAUAUUGAAGAGAAAAAAGAGGCGAAAGGGGAUAGAAUUGAACCUUUCCAAUCAAGAUCUCAUUAGUAUGGGGUCCAUAAGCAUCGGCGGUGUCAAAAAAGGUGAUUCCUUCGUUGAAUGCGUGCUUGAUGAUGGAAAUCCCGGCUUCUUCGGGGACCGGAGAGUUGUACACUCCGGUAAGGCUCAUGCACCCGAACCCCAGCUUGGAAACCUGGAAAAAAGCGAAAGGAAUCAGCACCAAGACCACCAUAAGAACAAAGAGGAAAAGAAGAAGAGAAAUCGAGAAGGGGAUUGAGACCUCCAAGCCCUGGCUUCCCAACUUCACUCUGGGGAUAUGGGGCUUGCUCGGCUCCUCCAUAUGUUGUCACCUGGAUCUCUCUCUGAUCGCUGCGCGUUAAGAAACGUCGGUGGGAGACUGGAAGUGCGCCACCAAGAGGAACACCCACCCCAUGGUGGUAGCUUGGAUGAUCAUGCCGUGCGUCAUGGAAGGGGUGUUGGUUGCGGGAAAUGGCCUGGCAGAAGACCGCACAACUAAGGCCCUGUUUGGGGAGCUUUUGGAGGGCCAUCGCGAUCCUCUGUCCGGUUCCUUCAUAUUAGGAUUGAGGCUGAAGUUAUAUCUCACAUUCCCUUUCCCUAAAAAAAAAAUUCAUCCUCGAAAUUUAACAUACCUUAGCUUGCAAAAAGAUCCGGAUAUUUUUUCUUCAUCUCAUCCUUCAAUACCCAUAUAGCCUCAUGUUCUGAAUGAUUGCUCCACUGGAUCUUGACAUAAGAAAUUGUGCGCCUUCUUAAUACUUGUUCCUUUCUAUCAACCACACGUAUAGGCUGCUUAGGAUAUGUCAAAUCUUCUUUAAGCCGCAAGAAGGCCACUUCUAUAGGGGGUCUUAGAGAUUGGUGUGGUACCAGGAAUUAAAUCAAUUGCAGAUUCAAUUUCUCUAUCUGGUGGCAAGCCAGGGAGGUCUUCCGAAAAGACAUCAGAGUAUUCAUUCACUACUCGGAUAUCUUCCAAUCUUUGAUCUGAUUGUCUGGUAUCAACUACAGUGGCAAUAUAUGUCAUACUCCCCUUCCUGAGUAGCCGCUUAAUUUGCAUAGCAGAGACAAUUCGAGGGAAAGUAUAAGCACCACUACCUAUGAAGCUGAAUUCAGUGUCUCUAGGGAUCUGAAAGUUUACCCUUUUUUUAUGGCAGUUAAUGGUAGCAAAAUGUGAUGCUAACCAGUCCAUACCGAGAAUUAUGUCAAAGUCAUGCAUAUAUAUAACUAUUAAGUCAGCAGGCAAGUCUCUACCUACUAUCUGAACUGGACAAGUCUUGCAGACCUGAUUACCAAUCAUCCCACUCCGGGUAGGAGUGCUAACAUGCAAAUCAUACUUUAAUUGCACACAAGGCAGGUCAUGUUUUUGCACAAAUGUAGAUGACACAAAGGAAUGCGUAGCACCAGAAUCAAAUAGUGUAUGAGCAUAAACAGAAGCAACUGGCAAUGUACCUGACACCACAGUGUUGGAUGCCUGAGCAUCCUGCUGAGUAGUGCAUAAAUACGACCCUGUGUGUGCGGUUUUCCUCCUGUCUGCUGCUUAGGAGAAGAAGACUGAGCAAACUGAACCGGAGCAGGAGAACCUUGCACUUGCUAGGUCCCUAUAGCUUGAGGCCUCUGAACUAACCGAUGGUCCUGUUGAGGACACUUAGCUACCUUAUGACCCUGCUGGCCUCAUCUGAAGCAGGCGCCGGAUAAUCGUCUACAAUGUUCAGUCUUAUGCAUACCACAUGCAUCACACUUAGGCUUGACUUGCUAAUGCUGAGUAGUCUUCUCAUAGAAUCUCUGCUCCCCUGAUUGCCUGGGUUGGUUAUGAGAUUUUGCAGUCCUGCAGGAAUUCUGUCCACUAUGAGUAUCAUCAUCUCUGCUCCUCUUCUUUUGUAUUCUAUCUUUUGUAUCUUGUGUUUCUUUCCAGACAAUGUCCAGAUUUUUGGCCCUGUCUACCAAAUCAUCAUAGUUUGUUGAGUGUACUAUGGCCAAACCCCGACGUAAGUGAGGCUUCAAUCCUUCUUCAAAUCUCCUCAUCCGGGACUCUGCAUCCAUGACGAGGGUGGGAGCAAACCGAGAUAGCAUGUCAAACUCUGCCUCAUACUCAUCCAUAGUCAUAGUUCUUUGAUUCAGAUUGAGAAAUUCCCUCUCUAGCUCCCUCAGGCGACUGGAGGGAAAAUACUUGGAGUAGAAUGCUGUGCGGAAUCUCUGCCAGGUAAGUGCCUUCUGCUCGGGUGCCAAUGUGCGCUCCACAAACAUCCACCAAUGAUGAGCUCGGUCAUGAAGCAUAUAGGUGGAAAAUCUAACCUUCUCUUCAUUGGUGCACUCCAUUGCCCUGAAGGCUUUCUCCAUUUCAUCUAUCCAGGCUUCGGCCUCUUGAGGACUAGUGGUGCCUUUAAAAGCCGAAGGAGCCAUUCUUUUGAAUUCUGCUAUACUCCUUCUUUGCUCAGGAGGAGCAACAUCUUACUAGAUGGGUUGAUGAGGUUGUUGCCUCUGUUGGCGUACUAACCCAACGACCUCCUCAAUCAAUUCGAGCACCCAAGUUUGAUUUCCAGCGGCAGUUUCUAGAGUUGAUUGGCCCUGGGGCCCUGAGCUAUGCGAUGCCUCGCCUGCUUGGCUAGUAGGGACUUUUUUCCGAGAGCCCCCAACCAUCUUAUUCAAGCUACAGACACGGCGAGACGGCAUUCUAAUUCAGUGAAAAUAUAUAAAUAUUAUAAAUUUAUCCAAACAGAAUAAUACAUGAUAGUUAACAAAACAAAUGAACAUUAUCCUCUUAUCUAGUUCCUACCCAUCUCUCAACCUUUCCGAUGAAUUGUAGGAAUCCUAAAAUUCAGGCUCAAAUAUGAUUGUUUCACUUAUGGUCCCUAGUGAUUUUAACUUGAGCUCUGAUACCACCAAAUCUGUCACGCCCCAAGCCAGAAGCGCGACAGACACCGCACGCCCGCACGGCGGGCCGCACAGGUGUGCAAGGCAUUGGAAUAUAUCGGAGCAAAUACAGAUGUUCAAAACUUAUUUAAGGGUUAAUCACAGAUGCUUGAAAUUGACAUAAAUAAUUAAAAUCAUUCAAAAGCAGUCUUACAAAAUUCCAAAAUAAUAUUUGCUAACAUAAUUCAAAUGUCCAAACUAAUCUAUCUAAAAUGCCAAUAACUAAAGAAAUUAUCGAAAAAUCUAACGCACUCCCCAAUCCCGUGCGAUCAAGCCUCUGGAUCUGAAAAACAGAGAAAAUAAAAUAAUAAGCUACACUAGUCCAGUAAGCAACAAAAUACCCCAGAGUGGGAUCAAAGAUCGAAAUACAAAAUAAUGAUUGGGAAUAAAUCACAAAUAACAUCAUUUUUCUCUUUUCAAAAUUUAUCAUCAUUUCCACAAAAACUCUGAUACAGAAAUCCCAGCAUAUGUAGGCUACGGCCACGAAACCCAGUGGCAUGGGUUGCACAAAGUGCCAAACACCACUAUUUUCAGCACCGGUGGUACAGUGUCCAAAUACCACUAUUCUAAUCACCGGUGAUACGGUGUCCAAAUACCACUAUUCUAAUCAUCGAUGGUAUGGUGUCAAAACCGGCUCCUCAUAGAUUACAAGUCGACAGAUCCAACGUAUAAUCCCCAUUGGCAGGGCCAGAACAAAACAGAACAGGUCAUAGCCAUGCUGAGAAUGCAUAUAUCCAAAAAUAGAUUUCAUAAAUUGUCCAACUAUAUUUUACGGAUUUCAAAGCAUAACAUAGUUUUCAAAUAAAAUUUAACAUGCCUUACCCAUUUUACUGAAUACAAAAUAUAUGUCAAAAUUUAAUCAAUUUAUCAAAUAAUUUGCAAAUCACACUUGAAGUAUUAAGUUACUUACCUCUUCUCGCUUAAUUCCUACUUCAGGUAGGCGGAUCAGGUUCACGUGUUAAUAUUUAAUUAAUUUUUCUAUAAAUUUCAGAGCUAAGCAAAAUCCAAAAAUAAUACUACUGGACACGGCCCAAUAGGGCCCCCAAGAUUGGCCUCUAAUUGGUUUAUUUAUACAAUAAAAAUUCAUUUUAGGGGCCAAUACCUAAUUAUAUAGUACUAUUUCUUAAUAAAGCUUGAGUAAAAGGACCAAACAAAUAUAGUUAAGGACCUUUAUGAAAUGAAUCUUUCUUUUAGGGAUCAAACAUAAAUUACAGAAGAUCCUUCUGUAAAAUAACAUACUGUCAAGGGCUUAACUGCAAAAUUCCAUUUAUUGGCCAAAUGGGUUCGGAUUUCGGGUUUGGGGUUCCGAGUUUCGGAUUUUGGGUUUCGGGUCUGAACUGGAUUUUGGGUUCGGAUUUUAUAUUUUGAAUUCGGGUAUGGGCCCACAGUGAACCGGGCCUAAGUUGGCUCAGUUCGGCCCACGAUGGGCCUUCAUCUUCCCCAAACUCCCCAUGCAUAGGGGAGAUGGAAACCGAGAGAGGAAGGGAAGAUCGGCGGGGUGGUCGGCCUGGGUGGCCGGCCUAGGUGGCCGGGGGCCGUCGCCCGAUCGACGGCCAGCUNNNNNNNNNNNNNNNNNNNNGGGGUGGUCGGCCUGGGUGGCCGGCCUAGGUGGCCGGGGGCCGUCGCCCGAUCGACGGCCAGCUGACCACAGCGGCAGCCGGUGGUCGUUGCGGCGACGGGCAUGAAGACAACCGAGCAUGGUCUCGGUUUGGGGCCAAAACAAAGGGAAGAACUCGAGGACGUUUAGCAGCGGAACAAAGAGAAAAAGAAGGGGCUUACCGGCGGUCGAUGGAGGCGGUGGAUCUCGGCCAAGGGAGGGUCGAUCCGGUGUCAAGCGGCGGCGGUGGCGGCACUUUCCAAAGGGGAAGUGGAUCCAGAAACAGGGAAAGGCCGCGAGGGGAUUCGGAUGGUGCUCGGCCGGAAGAGCACGUCAGUCACUCGGGAGGCAAGAACAGAGAAAGGAGAGGGAGAGGAGAGGGAGGAGAGGAGCUCGGUGGUGAUCUGGGAAGGAAAAGAGGGGUUUUUAUCAUCCCCUCGUAACGGCUCUCCGCCGUGAAAAUCGCAGCGGUCGAGCGUGAUCCGCGGCCGUGAGUGGCCGCGGUUUGACCGAAGGGGGGUGCCGCGGGAUGCCCGCGGCUCCUUUUCCCAUUUGUUCCCGGAGGAGCUGGAGAGGAUCGCCAUCGCGAUCCUCUGUCUUGUUCCUCCCCAGCCGACUUCAGCCCCUUAUCUCACAAUUCUUCAUCUUCCUUUCUAUACUAUUCUAGUGUGCUACAUAUUCUUUUAAUCCCACACGUACCCGCUCUCUCUGGUUUGCUUGUCUCUGAAGGAAUUUGAUUUGUUGAGUAAUGGAUAAGAAGUUAUAUCUAUAGUUAAAUAGAAAACAACAGUUAGUAUAGAGCUGAAGUUAUAGUUCCCCAACAAGGGCAAAGAGGAGGAUUUCUCAAAAUUAGCACAAUCUGUUCUUAUUUCACUAUAAACUACAAGAGAGGAAAACAACGAUUUCAAAAGACUAGAGUUUGGCACUUAUUGGCGAUCCAUCAAUUUCAGUCAUUAAUGCAUGAUAACUGUGUAACACCCCUCAAAGAUCAUCGUACUGAUAGAGAUAUUGAUGAUCAACAUCAUAAUUUAUUAAAUACUUCAGAAGUUGGCUGGGACUGCUCAUCCAGGACGAGCAUAUACAACUCAUUGAAAGAAACCAUACGCAUUGAUCACAUAUACUGAUACCCAAAACUAAACAACAUAACAAGCAUAAUAGAAGUUUAUUUAGCUUUCCCAGUGACAGGGAGACAUGGAAGACAGGAUUGACGAACAAAGCCAACUCUAUCUUCAGCAAGUUCUAGCCAGCUACUGCUUUGGGGUUUUGGUUGCUAGGCAGUGGUGUAUUAGCGAACUUCCAUGAGCAACUAGUGAAGAGAUCAAUAUCCCUCUCACCACCAACCUCCUUGAUUGGCACUGCCGCUGAAACUUCUUUCAGGUCUUUGUCAGAUAACUUCACUUUCAAAGACCCAAUAUUGGCAUCUAGAUGCUUGACUUUUGUUGUACCUAAUACAAAAUCAAAUAAGCACCCCAAAAAUUAGGCAAUCAUACAGUUAGCAGCACGAGAGCUAAUUUAUGACAUUGUUUUCUAAGGAACCUAUUAUAUAUUUAGACAUUAAGAAAACGUUAUAUAGAAGUUGUCCUUCUUUAAUGUUUAUCUCUUUGAAUGCAAUUGCAUGUUAGCAAAUACAAUUACAAAGAGUUUUUCCCCGUAGUCUCAUUGAAGGUAAUAUAUCUGGAUAUCCAAUCAAGAAUUAUAGAAACCAUUGACAAUGUAUUCAAUGAUCAAACUCGUCCAUCAAACAGGAGUAGGAAAACUGUGUAUUUUUACUCCCUGUUAUGACGGUCUUUUAAACUAGAUCAGAUGUGAAUACUUACAGUUGCUGCACUCCUAACAAAGUUUACAAGGUGUCUCAUUAAAAAGAUGAAGAAAAAAAAAGAAAAUGUUUGUACAGUGGGAUCAAUCAAAGUAAUAAUAGAAUGGUAGAACGGUAUUAUAAUGGUUGGGUUUAACAGAUUUGCUGCUUUCUAUUUUUUUAACUCUUCUCCAAUAUUUUAAAAAGGCAUUCUCUUGUUUGUCUGUCUAAUAAAUGUACCCUAUAGCAUCCAUUAUGAAUCUAAGCAAUGUUCCAAAAGACUGGUAUUAAAAGAAAUGAUAUUGAGCAUUGAUCAGGGCCUAAAAAAUAAUGGAAGUUGUCUUGGUUUUUUGUUGACUUAACAAUGUUAUGUUUAGAUCUCUGAAGUGUUUUAACCAGGAAAGAUGGACUUCAAAUGUGAUCCAUUAUCAAAUUGGGUGCUGUCGCUUGCUUUUCGCUCUCUUUCUACUUAAAUCUUCAGUAAAGGUGAAUUCUGUGUCUCUGCCCACCUCUUCCUAUUCUUUUGAUGACACCACUUCUAAGUUGAAUGGAGUGUUCAAUUUUGAAAACAAUCUGUGGUUACAAGGCUUAAGAAAUCUUGUCAUGGUCUGGUCACUUAUGCCAACUCAAGAGGAUAGAAAUGAUUUCUUCUGAAGAUGAUUGUUGGGAUUUCAUCUGGUAAGCAGCCCUUGCAUCAUGCUGAUUAUGCACAAUUCUCAUAAUUUAUCCACAUUCAUUUUCUUCUAACCAUACAGAACCUAACUAGUUUCUCCAAGUAGUGAAUAUGGUGAUCAUUAGAAAACACUAUGUACUGCUAUUGAAUUAUCUGAUUGAAAGUAGCACCUGUCCUAAAUAUAUUUGAAUCGUCAGUUUGGUGGGUGUCAAGGAAAAAAAUGUGCUUAGAGGUAAGAGAACAGUUGUUAGUGAUUCUAUUGUGCAUCAUAAGACAACAGAAUCUAAUAUAGAAAUCUUUAUAAUUUUCUAUUUUAUCUACGUUUAGUCAUGUUUCUGAUAUGCAUUAUGAGAAUUAUUAUUAAUUGUUUCUCUUCCAGUCUUGGAAGCUAUAAAAGCUAACAGAGUGCUUGUAUCUUUGAUUAUGGCCCACAGUUUUUUGCUCUUCCUUUAUUUCAUUGUUCAUCAAUCUAUGCUGAAACUCAUACCAACAUUUGACAAUCAAAAACCUUAUCUUCAUAAUGUUAAUUAGAAGCUUCAACAGUGAAUCACUACAACGAUUAUCUAUUCUGCUUUUGAGAAGAUAUUUAUGUAUUCAACUCAACACAAAAUCUUCUAAAUUUCCUUUUUUCUCUUACAAGAUUCUUUUUGACUGGAAUUCAUUUAUUUUUCCUUCAUUCUUCGGCAAACAAGUAAAGACCUUGAAUUGAUCAGAUUUACAAGAUUAAUUUAUUUUUUGCAGCCAUGAUGUAAGCUCAAGAAUAGGUUACAAGUGCUAGCUGAUUUUCUUUUCAUUAAUUGCCAUAUUUGAGUCAUUUGCAUGCAAACUUGCUGCAAAAAUAAAAUCCCCAGCCUCUAAUGAAGGAUAAAAAACAGUUACCUGGGAUAGGUACCACAUCUUCUCCCUGAUGGAGGAGCCAAGCCAGGGCUAGUUGAGGAGGAGUGCACCCAUACUUGGCAGCCAGUUUUGCAACGCGCAUGUAUAUGAUCUUGUUCUUGUCUACAUUCUCACCAUUAAAUCUUGGAUUGAGGGCCUAUUCACAAUCAAAUUAGUGCAUAGUGAAUAAAGCAGUACCUUUUAGUAUGAAAGAAUAUUGAAUCAUUUAACAGAGUUCUGUUAGCCAUGUCCAUACCAGUAUACUUCCUUCGGGCAAUCCUUCCGUAUUGGCUCUUCCAGCAAAAAAACCAUGACCAAGAGGGCUGUACGCAAUUACUCCAAUACCCAGUUCUCUGCAUGAACACAGCAUUACAAUACAGACAUGGUUUGUCUCAAAACAAAUGUAUUAAUGGUUAGGGAAAUUCUUAGGGACAUAUAUAAAGGGUACCUUAUUUUCAGCUAACUUCUUUCACCAGUAAUAUAUAGAAUAUGUGACUGUUUUUUUUCAACUAUAUAGUUGUGUAAAAGCAAGAAUUAGCUAUCAUUAUUAUCAGUUAUCUUGGAUCUGUUUGCCUAUCCUUCUAGAGAGAGAGAAGGAGACAGGUAGGGAGAGGAGCACUAGUUCAUGAAUGGCAGCAUAGAAGAGUUCAGUUGAACAAACUUGCAAAGGGGGAUUAUUUCAUCCUCGAUAUCACGAGUCCACAAAGACCACUCCAUUUGCACUGCAGUGAUGGGAUGAACAGCAUGAGCACGCCUUAUGGUGUCUGGACUCGCCUCACACAGACCAAUGUACUUGAUCUUCCCUUCCUCGACUAACUUCUUUAGUUCACCCAUCUAUCUCAUAAACGAAGUUCUUAAUCAAAUCAGUCAUAAACUAAGAUGAAUCUCAGAAAGCUCUGUCAAUUGCAUUCGGUACUUACAGUUUCUUCUAUGGGAACCGUAGUGUCUAUGCGGUGUGGGAAGUACAAAUCAAUGUAGUCAACACCAAGGCGUUGGAGACUUCCUUCACAACAUUUGCGUACAUACUCAGGUGCACCUUUGAUCAGCAGCCGCCCAUUUUCAAAACCAGCGAUGCCAAACUUGCUUGCUAUCUCAACUUUUUCUCGAGGUAAUUGCUUCAAAGCCUAAAAGUUAAGAAGGCACUAGCUAAAGUGAAUUAUGACUGAAAGUGUCACGCCCUAAGCCCGAGGCGCGGUAGACGCCGCACGCCCGCAUGGUGGGCCGUACAGGCGUGCAAGGCAGCUGAUCAUAUCGAAGCAAAUAUAGAUAUUUAAAGAUGACAUAAUUAUUUAAGUUGGUCACAAGCAGCCUUACAAAAUUUCAAAAUAUCAUAUGCCAGCAUAAUUCAAAUGUUCAAGCUAAUCUAACUAAAAUGCCAAUAACUGGACGAAUCAUCGAAAAAUUUAACGCACUCCCCCAAUCCUGUACGAUCAAGCCUCUGGAUCUGGAAAAAAAACAGAAAACAGAAUAAUGAGCUACACUAGCCCAUAACCUAUGUGGACUAGGGGACACUGCAGCACGGAUCCAUUGGGGCUGACCACGGGCCAAUCGUGGUGUUUGUGAACCCUUAACCUGACAAGGACGUCAAGGCUUGAACGGGGGGAUAUGUGAGGAUCCGUGCAGGCGUGUGUUUAGUCUUACANNNNNNNNNNNNNNNNNNNNNNNNNNNNNNNNNNNNNNNNNNNNNNNNNNNNNNNNNNNNNNNNNNNNNNNNNNNNNNNNNNNNNNNUUUGGGUGAGAUUCUGGGUUGUUACAGAAAGAGUAUCCAUCAUCUUGAAUGAAUUACCAAACGCUUCAAUUAUUUGAAAAUAAAUAAAAAGCCAGCAUUCAUGAGAUUAUGGAAAGAGAGCUUUGCUUAAGGCAUGUAAAGUCCUACAUAUUUCGUAUAUAUGAUUAUUCUCUUGUUUUUUUUCUGAUAGCAGUUGAGCAAGUAUCCGGUAAAUACAUUCUCAAAUCCCUUCUCUUUAAGAAAUUAAGAGUUAUCUUUUUCCUUGAGUUAAACCAUAGAAUAUUCUUCUCUCCAAAAAUUUAAAAAAAAAAUGAUAGCCAACCUCUCUUGCCUUGAGGACAAACUUUAUUUGCUAGUUGCUGGUUAUUACUCCUACUAACACUAGUUCACAAAUACUGACAUCUACCGGUAUGUUUCCAACAUCUCAAAACAGCUAGCUUCUCAAUCAGAAAGGUCAUAUGAGUAGCCAAAAUGGCUCACAUUGAAGUAACAGAUUUAGUUCUUAGGUUUCAUUGGCAAAGAGCACUCUUGAGAGGUCUUAACUCUUCAUCAAUGGAUUUAAGAACUAACGAAGGUCAUAUCAUGCAGAAUACUACUGUUUGUGGAUUAUAGAACUUCACACUAAUCAGUGUAGUGAACCAAAACUUUGAGUCCCAAGAGAAAAACACAGACCUUCCCGAUAAGGAUUUCGUUGUCUCCAUCGGCAUAAGCAUCAGCAGUGUCGAAGAAUGUCACCCCCUUAUUGAAGGCAUCGAUGAUGAGGGAGACACCUUCUUCAUGGGGAAGGGGAUGGUUGAAUAUCCCAGAGAGUCCAGAGCACCCAAAACCCAUCUUGGAAAUCUGUUACAAAGAUGAAGCUUAAGAUUUAGCGUAACAGAUAGCCAUUGAAGCUUGAAAUUAAUACGGACAUAACUAUUAGGCUAUAUUGGCUCCUUUUACUCAAUAUAUGUCUAUACCACACAAACAAAGAUGAAGAUUAAAAUUAAUAAGGAUCCCAACUAUUAGGCUAUAUUGACUCCUUUUCCUCAAUAUGUAUAUAUAGGAGUAUGUUUACAUUCUGAUAUCAUAGUCAGUUAAGUAAUUAGGGUACUACCAGUUUCUGAUUGUUAGGACUAGUUUGUGAAUACUGAAUAUCUAUAAUAUUAUGUGGAGCAUUUUCUCAAGCAAUUCAUGUUUGCUGAUAAUUGCAAAAAGAUUCCAUAAAAACUAACUUGAGGCAAGUGACAAUAACCAAACAUCAGUUAAAGAAUAAAGUAAAAAAGAUAAAGGAUAUUUUAUACUUAAAUUGAAAAUAAGUUACGCAUUAGUAGUUGGAUUUUGCAAGAAGAAUGCUAACAGUCACUUGGCAAAAAACAAUCAUUCUAUCCUACCGAAAGAAGAAUUCAGAAACAUACUGAACAUAGCUGCUGUUAAGUGACAUGAAUGAAGUAACUAAUAUAUUAAACAAGUCCAUUAAAAGGACAAAAACACAAGAAAGACAAGGAUGAGUUUGUGAGGCAUUACUAUACGUUCCUCAUGGGUCAGUUUUCAAGGCAUUAUCCUUUUUUGAGCAAAGCUUUUGAGGCAUUAUCAUGCAUUUCAUUGUUUCUUCUCAAAAAGAUAACACUUAUUGUGUGGAUUUUAUACAUAGCCUGAAUGGAAUUGUUUGCUUUCUCAAAAGAGCAAAACAAAAGAAAGGAAAUGAAAAGGCACAUCUUUUGCAGAGAAACAUGUUAAUUGACAAACUAGAACUCAAACACAAGG
This 51027-nucleotide long non-coding RNA is filed under the name Phoenix dactylifera (date palm). RNAcentral describes it as "long non-coding RNA (PDAC_LNC006655)". The record is from RNAcentral. Lineage: Eukaryota; Viridiplantae; Streptophyta; Magnoliopsida; Arecales; Arecaceae.